UAAACCACCCCCAAAUCCUCAACUUCACAUGGACUCAAAGCCAAACCCCAGCUUCCUCCCCAGACUUCCUCAUUCUCUCCAUCCUCACUUACCUCUCCCUCACAUUCAUCCUCUACCACAAAUUAACGCCAACAUCACCAUCAUCAUCACCUCUCAUUGGACCCCACAUCCUCAAGCCCAUCACAGCCGUCCAUAACCUUACCCUCCUCCUCCUCCCCCUCGUCAUGGCCGUUGGUUGCACUCUCUCCAUCGUCCUCCAUUCACCCGACCUCCGUCACACCCUCUGUUUCCCCCCCUCCAUUUCUCCCUCCGGUCCCCUCUUCUUCUACGCUUACAUCUUCUACCUCUCCAAAAUACUCGAAUUCCUAGACACCCUUUUGAUCAUUUUGACAAACUCCGUUCAACGGCUCACGUUCCUCCACGUCUACCACCAUGCAACCGUCGUCGUAAUGUGCUACCUUUGGUUACAGACGAAGCAGUCUUUGUUUCCUAUCGCACUUGUCACCAAUGCAAGUGUGCACGUGAUCAUGUACGGGUACUAUCUAUUGUGUGUGAUGGGGUUGCGGCCAAAGUGGAAGAGAUUGGUCACUGACUGUCAGAUUGUUCAGUUCGUGUUUAGUUUUUUUGUUUCAGUUUUGAUGCUGUAUUAUCAUUUUGCGGGAUUUGGAUGCUCUGGGAUCUUGGGUUGGUGCUUCAAUGCUGUGUUUAAUGCUUCCCUUUUGACACUUUUUAUUAAUUUUCAUUCCAAGAGCUAUGCUAAGAAAAAGCAGGGAUGAUCAAAACAAAUCGUCGUUGUGAUUGUUCUCUGUGUGUGUUUUUUUUUUGUGGUUAAUUAUGAAUGGUUGUGAUCGGUUCAUUGCAUUUGACAGAGAUGUUGAAGGGUUAUGUACUGGAAAAUAGAAAUUAAACCAAAAUUAUCACUAUAACUGGUACAUUAUUACCAUCACAGAUCAAGAUCUGAAUGGACGCAUAGCAGCCAUCCUCAAAACCAAAGGAGGAGAAAAUUGAAAUAGAACAACCACCUUAAGGUGAAGAAGGCCAGAACAAGACACACAUCCUCAAAUCAUAAGGAAGAGGUGGGUGCAACCGAAAAAAAAAAAGAAAAAAAGAAAUCAAGAAUCCACUGGAGAAGGCAAGAAAGAUUUUUGCCUCCGAAGAUUUGGUGAGGAAGAGAUGAGGAGUUAGAAGAGGAAAAGUUUUCGGAGAGAUCUGCAGAUUAGCUUUAAAAGUGUGUUUUAAAGAAAAAGUUGUUGAGAACUUGAGAGGAUACAUAUGCAAUCAAUCCUUUACUCUUCAUGUUUGUGGACUAUGUGGAAUGUUUAUCCACUGAGUGUAAUCGUGACGGUUGGAUUGAGUGAUUAAAAUCACACGGCUGAUAUUAGUUGGUUCUAUGUUGGAGUUGAUCCAACAUAGCCUGAGCCUUUAAAUAAAAAACAAUACAACCCAUGCAUCCAAGCACUUAAAGUUGGCUUGAGUGCAUGGGUUAUUGUCAAUUUUCUUUCCAAUUAAAUUAGAUAGGGAUAAAAUUAUCUCUUUAUUAAUAAGAAUAAAGUAGAUAUCUCUCUAACCACUCGGCUCAGCCCGAGUGGCCAGGGCUGCUGCCCUCCAAUUUGGAGGGCAGCAGUUCGAACUCCCACAAAAGUAUUGUAGGGGUAUUUUCUUUUUCAAUUAAUUGAGUGAAGGUAGUCUUCUUCUUUACCCAUGAGUGAUGAGUAGACAUCUCUCGAAUAUUUGUGAGGGUUAAAAUCUGGGCAGAGCUUCAUUAGCAUUGAUGUAAGUUGGUCCCAAUAAUAGUCUGAUUUGUAAAUAUCAGUUAUAGUCUCAUGUAAUAUGAGUUGUAAUCUGAGCAAUAGUCUCAUGUAAUAAAAAAAAAAGUAGACAUCUCUCUCGCUUUUCCUCUUAAUUAAACUUAAUAGGAGUAAAAUUAUCUUCUGAUUAAUAAGGAUAUAAUAUAUACCUCUCUAAUAUUAUGUGAUGGUAGAAAUUUGAGUUGUACCGUAAUAAAAUUAUCAAGGUUAGUGUUGAUAGAAUUAAUGCAAAGAAUUAAGAUAAAGCCUCAAAGAUGGAACAAAGGUUAAAAAAAAAAAAAGAGUACAAGACAAAGAAAUAAGGAAACAAAAGAAGACCAAAAAUAAAAGAAAAAAUAAUUUGGAAAACAAAAAAAUGGAUUGCAAUUUUAAACUUUAAUGAAGGAUAAAUUGUAGUGGAUGCCAUUGUUGGUAAUUUAUUAUAUUUCAAAGCUCAAAUAAGGAAUAAAAUUAUUAUUAUUAUUUUUUUGCAAUAACUCGUUUCAAAUUUUAAAAGAUUAUAACUUUUUGUUUUUUAACAUUUUAAUCAUAAAUUAAAAAGGAGUUACUAUUCAAGAUUCCUAAGAAUACUGAAAAAAAUGAUAAAUAUUAUUCUAAGAAAAUGAUAUAUAUUGGAUAUACUGAAAUAUUAUAAAUUAUUAAUUAUUUUACUAUUUUACCCCUUAGUUUUAUGUUUGGGGGAAAAAAAUACUAAAAUGGCUUUCAAUAAAAAGAAUUAUUAUUAAAAAAAUAAGAUUAAAAUUAUAACAAAUGAUAUUAAUAAGAAAGAAACUGAUAAAAAUUUGGGAUUAGAAAUAGGGGUUAAGGCUUUAGUCCUUGAAUUUCUCUAAAUUUUAUAUAUUUUUUAAUUUUUAACCCGUCAAAUUACAUUAUUAAUGGAAUGUCAAUAAAUUUUGCGCGUUAAUUUGUCUUUUAGAUACUUUGAAAGGUAAAAUGGUAUUUUGAAUGUAAAAGUCAACUAAUUAAUUAAAUAUUUAUAUUCCUAAGAUAUUUAAAUUCAAGAGAAGGGUAAAAAUUAUUUUUUAAAUUUUCAUUGUGGUGAUAUCAUAAAAUAAAUUUGUGAUUAUCAUACUUGUUUUAUAGAUUAAGAUAUAAGUAAAAGUUAAAUUAAUCUUUUAAUGGUUUUUUUACUUUUUUUUUCUAUAGGGAGUUAUUAUUAAUAAUUUCUUUUGUCGUCUAACUUGAAAUAUAAUAGACCUUAAGGGGCGAAAUAAAAUUAUUUUUGUUAACUCCACAAAACUGUUAAUUAGUUAGGGUUAGGGGCAUUCUCAUAUUUUUUAAGUCAACAUCAGUUAACUAUUAAAAAUAACAGUAUUUGGCAGGUAAAUUGAAGUUUUCGUAUUUUUGGAGGGUAAAUUGAAGUAUUUCAAUCUAAUAAGGGUGUGGGAUGAAAUUUAACUAUAAGUAAAUUAUUCGUGAGGCAUGCUUUUUACAACUUUUGUUUUCUUCCUUUUUUUUUCUUUUGAGUUUUUGUUUUUGUUUUACAUGGCACUGACCCGACCAGUACAAAUUAAUUUUAGAAUAUUUACAAUUAUGUACCAUAGUUGUGGAGUAGAAUCAUAGAAAUUAAAGAUGGUAAAAUUAUUGAUGUGUGGGGUGGGGGAGGAUAACUAUUAACUUUUUUCAUGCAAUGUAAGAAGAAUGCAACUGCUCCUUUGAUUUGGUAUUUUCGUAACAAAAGCACACUUAACAUCUUAUCAAAUUAUAUCUCCUUUUCCUUGUCAGAAUGGCGGAUGCGAUCGCUUCCCCUCUUCUUGGGCAACUGAACUCCUUUGCUGCUUAUGAAAAAGUGAAACAACAGGUGAGGUUUGUGACUAUUCUCCAACAAGUGAAAAAGCUUACCACAAAUCUUCAAGCCAUUCAAGCUGCUCGAAGAUACGUAGCAAAGGCAAGUUGAUGUAGGAUGGUUGCAUAGAAUGAGUAGGUAUCUUCCGAAGGUCAUAACUUGAGACACAGAUAUCCGUUCCAUUUUGAAUGUAUAGUAUAUCGUUUCAAAGCUUGCAAUAAGUUGAAUCAAAUGCAGAACAAUCUACGCUAUCCUGCCCUGUGGUUGAGCAAAAAAAUUCACUUCUUUUUUGGUUGUUUUUUAGUUUUAAGAUAUUUUUCUAAUUUGUCGUGAUUCUUUUGGGAUUUUUAUCCUUUGUUUCUAGAUAUUGGAUUUGAGUUCCAUUUGUUUUCCUUUUCUUAUUUAGAUUAGAAGGAUUUUAUUAUCAUAUAAUAUUUUGGAUUUGCCUAUUUUGGUAAAUUCCUAAUAUUUGUGCUUCUAUAAAAGUGGUUCAAUACCCCAAUUUUGUUUGUUCAAAUUAUUCGCAAUAAAACUUUUUAUUUAAAAACCUAGUUUCUAUUAUCUAAUAGCCUUUUAAUGUUUCCUCAUUGUCAGCUGGUAUUAGAGUAAGUUCGCUUGUUAUCAUGAUGUGACCACACGAAGGGACAACCGUCCCGAAGACAUUCAAGGGAAGUAGACAACGACUGUGGAGGCAGAGGCGAAGCUCAGGGAAGGCUAACACGGGCUGCAGCCUGGGUAAGCUUUUUGAAAAAAAAAUUAUUUAUAAUUUAUAAAUUUACUUUUAUUAAUAUUUAUAAAAAAAUAAAAACAAAGCCAAUAUUUAUAGGAAUCUUUAUUUUACCCAAAUCACAAUUCAUAAAACUCACCAGUAUCUAACUAAAUCUGAAUUUGAAAUUCACCAAAAUACAAUUGCUCAAGUCUCUUACCGCUGCUGAAUACCCAGUCUCCUGCGCUUGAAUUGACGCCCAGCCACUGCCUCAUGAGUGACGCCGAGCCACUGCCACAAGGCCCGCACCCGCAGGUUGAAUCUCUCACCGCCGAGCCGACGCCGAAUGCCUAGUCUCUUGAUGCAGCCCCUGGUACAAAGCACUUUGCCUUUUAAACUUUAGUUUACAGAAUAUAAUAUGAUUUUAUGAUAAUGAUGGUUGGCACACGAAGUGGAAUUGUGGAAGACUGGAAGUUGUUGAUUUUGUGAACUGUGAUUCAUCUUUUUAAAAUUAUAAAAUAAUAGAAUGUGACAAACGGUGAUGAUAGCAUAUAAAGUGGAACUGUGAAAGGUGCUGAUUCAUCUUCUUGGAAUUAUAAAAUAAUGAUGGCAUGAAAGAAUGAGUGAAUAAAAUAGUAAAACAAUUAAUUUAAAUGCUGACUUUUUUAAUUAGCUUUUAACUUGCGAUUUUUUCAAAUUUUUUAUAAAAUAAAUACUAAAUUUUAAUGUAUUUUAUUACAGAUUCAAUGUUAAAUAAACCAAGAAAAACUCUACUUUCUUUUUUUAAGAGAGUAGGUGAAAAUCAAUCAUCCACUAAGUCUUUAUCUCCAUGUCAAGUUAAUGCUCAAGAUUCCAAUGAGCAACAUACUUCCAAGUUUCAAAGGGUUGAAGUUGAAGAAACUAGAAAUACUUAUCUAGAGCGUGAUCCUGGAUUACGUCAUCAAAUAGGGACAUAUUAAGUAAAUCAACGUGAUGAUAUUAGAAGGGAGUACAUCAAAAUGGGACCUUAUUAGCCUAAACUACGAGAUUAUCCACUAACUAAUGAUGGCAUGCAAGAACGUAGGUUUCACUAUCACUGGUUUAAAAAAUUUCCAUGGCUUGAGUACUCUGAGGUAAAAGGUGCAUUUUGUUUUCCAUGCUUUCUUUUUUAUGAAAUUCCAUCAAACAACCCAAAAUUUGUUAUUGAAGGAUUUUCUAGUUGGAAGAGAGUCAACAAUGGAAAAAAAUGUCCCUUUUUACAGCAUGAAGGGGGUCCAUCUUCUCAUCAUAAUAAGAAUAUGCAGAGUUAGGGUUGUUUGAGGAACCAAAUUCAACACAUUGAUAGAUUAAUUAAUGCCCAAACUUCACAACAACUUUUGGAGAAUAGGCUACGAUUGAAGACCGCAAUUAUUGCUGUUAAAUGGUUAGCAAAGCAAGCAUGUGCUUUUAGAGGUCAUGAUGAAUCAGUUAAUUCAAGAAAUCGGGGAAAUUUCAUAGAGUUGAUAAAGCAUUCAAUGGAGUGUAGUAAAGAAAUUGCUCAAGUUGUCUUGGAAAAUGCUCCAUCAUAUGCUAAGUAUACAUCGUCUGACAUUCAAAAAGAGCUUUUAAAUAUUCUUGCAAACAAAGUGCGAAACAAGAUACGCAAGGAACUUGGAGAUGGUAAGUUUUGUAUUUUAGUAGACAAAGCACUUGAUGAAUCUGAUAAAGAGCAAAUGACUAUUAUUUUAAGGUAUGUUGAUUGUGAUGGGUAUAUUCGAGAACGUUUUUUUGAAGUUGUCAAUAUCAUGGAAACUACAGUAGUAACAUUGAAAAAAGAAAUAUGUAAUGUUCUUGCACGAUAUGAUAUUUUAGUUGAAAAUAUCUGAGGGCAAGGGUAUGAUGGUGCUAGUAACAUGUGGGGUGCAUGGAAUGGAUUACAAGCAUUAUUUUUGAAAGAUUGCCCAUAUGCAUAGUAGUUACACUGUUUUUCACAUCAACUACAAAUUGCUUUAGUUGCAACAUCUAAUGAUGUGCUAGAUGUAUGGCUUUUCUUUUCAGCAUUGGGUUCAAUUGUAAAUGUUCUGACUUCAUAUGCUAAACGGCUUUCUGAGUUAAAAUCUAUUUGGGAAGCAGAAAUAAUAGAUUUGAUAGCUUCAGGAGAAGUUCAAACUGGUACAGGGGCCAAUCAAAUUCAUACUUUGCAACGGCCUGGAGCUACUUGGUGGAGCUCUCAUUUCCGUUCUGUCAGUAGGUUGCUUGAUUUGUUUAGUGUUGUUCGUAAAGUUCUUGGGAAGUUGGUAGAGUGUGGACCUAACAAUAGCAUAUGUGGAGAGGCUAAAGGUGCAUGUGAAUCAAUGACAUCUUUAAAAUUUGUGUUCAUUUUGCAUUUAUUAAAUAAAUUUUUGGGGGUGAGUGAUUUACUUUCUCAAGCAUUACAAGUUAAAUCUCUAAAUAUUCUAAAUGCUAUGCACUUAGUCUCAACUACGAAAAAACUUCUUCAAAGGCUGCGCGACAAUGGUUGGGAAACUUUCAUUGAGAACAUAGUUCUAUUUUGUGAAAAGAAUGAGAUAGAUAUGCCCGAUAUGAAAGCUCGCCAUAUGAAAGGCAGAGGACGUUCUUGUCAUCAGAAUGAUUAUAUUACAGUUGAGCAUUAUUAUCAUUAUGAUAUAUUUAAUGUUGUGAUAGAUUUUCAAUUGAUGGAGUUGAAUAAUAGAUUUACUGAACAGACUGUGGAACUCCUCACUCUUAGUUCAGCUUUAAAUCCUAUUGAUGCAUUUAAAUCAUUUAAAAUUGAAGAUAUUUGCAGCCUUGCUGAAAGAUUUUAUCUUGAAUAUUUCACUAAGAUUGAGUCACAGGCUUUGAGAAGACAAUUAGAGUGCUUUGAAAUAGAUAUACACUCUCUUCAAGAGUUUCAGAAUAUUACUUUCCUUUCUGAAUUGUGUCGAAGAUUGGUUGAGACUAGAAAGUCACAGAUUUAUUUCUUGUUGGAUAGAUUAAUUCGUUUAGUGUUAACGCUUCCUGUUUCAACAGCAACAACAGAGAGAGCAUUUUCUGCCAUGAAACUGAUUAAGACAACACAUCGAAACAAGAUGGAGAAUGAGUUUCUUUCAAAUUGUAUGGUUAUUUACAUCGAAAGAGAAAUUGCAGACAAUAUUGACUCAGAUGCGAUAGUAGAUGAAUUUUCUUUUUUGAAGAACCACAGGACACAACUUCGUCAAUAGUGUUUUUCUUAUUUACAUUGUAUUUUUAUAGUUUUAUGGUUAAAUUUUUGCUUAUGUAGUGUGCUUAAUUUCAUUUAUAUAAAACAAAUUUUUUGAGAAGUAAAUUUAAUUUUUUUAAAAUCUAGCCCACCCAAACAAAUGAUGCUAGCUUCGCCAUUGGAGGUUAUCAGAUAGAUGGUCAAAGAAGCAAUCUUUUAAGUCAUGGAGUACGCAUAUAAUGCAAGAAUGGCAACAGACAAAUAUUAGGUUAUCUCUUGUAAACCAUAUUGAUAAAUCUAAUGAGGGAAAGAUAUUUUUUUUCUUGUCCUAGAUGACGUGUGGGAUGGAAGUUACAAUCAAUGGGAACCAUUCUUCUAUUGUUUAAAGAAUGGUCUCAACAGUAGUCAAUUUUUGAUUACUACACAUUAUUAGAUAGUAGCAAGCAUGAUGAGAUUAACAAAUAUUGUUUUUAUUAAGGAAUUAACUGAAGAAGAAUGUUGGUCAUUGUUUAAGCAAGUAGCAUUUUUUGGUCAAUUUUUUUAAGGAUAGUGACCAAAUGAUAAAAAAAUUGCAUGCAGGGCCUGCCUCUUAUUGCAAAGGCAAUAGGGAAAUUCUUACAAUAUAAAUGACCAACAGAAGAAUGGAAAAGAAUUUUAGAUAGUGAUAUGUAGAAGGUAGAAGAGAUUGGGAACAAUAUUAAUAGGGAAAUUCUUACAAUAUAAAUGACCAAUAAAAAAAAUGAAAACUACACUAUAGAUGGCUCAAAGUUACCUUAUUGUAUAAGAAGGCCAAGAGAUGAGGAUCCAAUCCAAUCUAAUAGUAGUAGUUCAUUUCAAUUUUUAUUCAUUUGAUUUUGUAGUAGUAGUUUUCAUUUUUUUUGGUUGAAAAUUGGUAAAAACAAAUUCAAAUGAGUUAAGAAUUUCAUUUCAUCUUCAAGAACUAAAAUAAUUUUAAAAAAACUCAAAAUAAACAAAAUAGGCUCAAAAACACCCCUAAUCCCAACAUUAUCUUAAUCCAUCCUAGCUGACCGAAUUUUAUUUUAAUCAAACCCCAACUUGAUCCCCAUAUAAUUAUAACCUGAUGCAAUCCAAACUAAACUUGAAUUUUUGAUUUGAUACAAUCCAAUCUGAAUAUUCUAACCCAAUCAACCUAAAACCCGAUUAAGUUAAUCUGAACACAAAUUUGCCCACUCCUAGCGAGGAUCAUGACCCUACAAGCUUGGAAAAAUUUUGAGGUUUCGAAGUGAAAUAUUAAAAAUUAGGUAUAAAAAGAUUGAUUUGACCCCUAAGAACUUGAUAUAUAAAAUUUAUACAUAUAAUAGAAAUUUGAUUUAUAUAUUAUUAAAAUAAAAUCAAGUAACUCGAUUUUUUAUUGUAUUAAUUAUUUUUCCAUUAUGACGAUAUGACAAAUAGAAUUUACCCCAUAUGGUACAAAGUCGCCAAAUAAAAUCGCUGCAGCCUGUAGCUAAAAGCAAAAUUCUAAAAUUUCGAAAUUCCUAACAACUAUAUAAUAACUAUAAAUAGAAAAACAGUCUAAAAUUAAAUCCUCAGCUAACAUUUUAAGUUUGAAGUUGGGGCCUCCUGAAGAUUUACCCCAUAUGUAUGUACUUUCCCUCAACACUCUUGGCCGAAUAUCUUGCAAACAUAUGAUACUAAAGUGUCAUUUUUUUGUUUAAAACAAAAAAUGACACUUUAAAGCAAUAGGAGAGUUUUAUGUAUUAAAAUGGUUAACGGGUGGAUAAAACUCAAAAUAAUUUUUUAACGUUUUAUCUGUUUUGACAUUCGAAUUUUAAACUUGAGAAGUCAAGCAAUCAAUAAACCUUUUUGAGAGGCUAAUUAAAUUCUUAGUAAUUUCACAUAAUUUCAUUUCAUCAGAACAGUUUUAUCAAAAGCAAUUUUAUAAAUCGUUGUUGAAAGCUUUAUUCCUUAAUUAUAUUUAUUAAAUAUCAAAAGAUUACUCUUCUAUAUUAAUUAGAUAUGUCUUUAUAAUGAGACAUCAUUUAUUUUAAAAUUGUUCCAACACUAAGAUUAUUCUAUUUUAUAUAACUUCAGAAGGUUCAUCAGUAGAUUGCUCCAAGCUUUUUGUAGUAGUUAAUUACUUAUAAUAUAAGAAAUUUUACAAGUGCGGAUGCUGAGUAGACUGCAUAAUUAUUAUGAAUCAGAGAAACAGGGCAGAUGUUGCACAAUUAUUGGUGCGGUUGAGCGGAAUGCAAAAAUGUUUGAAUGAGUACUCUGCCUACAAUCACAACAACUACUUUUCUUUGAGCAUUUUCGCAACAAAAGCAAUCGGAACAUUUAGCAAUUUAAUCCAACAUCAAUUGGCUGAUGACAUCGUUUCCCAUCUCUUGGGGAAACUGAUCGAAUUCCUCUACCUGAUAUUUCAGUAAGAUAGAAAACGUGACAUAGACAAAACACGUGCUCAUACGUUAAAGAUGCGGCAAAUUUGAGAAUAUUUAUUAUUACGUUAAAGAUGCUACAAAUGUGUUCAUCGGAGGAGUGGAAUCUGGGAAAUUAAAGAUGCUACUACAAUUACGAACGUGUGGGUGGGGAAAAGCAUAACUUUUUGCUUAUAAGAGUGGGGACUUCUUUGCAUAAAUGUCGAUAAAAGUUUGACUAAGAUCUUAUAUAUUGGAAAUUAAGAUAUUCUCUCUCUGCAUAUUUCUGUAGGAAAUAACAUGCAGAUAUAUAAUUUUAGGUUAUUGUUAAUGGUUUUACAAUAAUAAAAAUAAUUUUGUUAGACCAUAAAAUGCCGUACUCACACUCUAUUUUGUGCAGAAGUCUGCGAGAAAGGAUUUCCAUAUAUAUAUAUAUAUAUAUAGAGUCGUGUACUACAGAUUGUUAGGAAAUUGGUGGGUGAAGCAGGACCGCAGCUAAAAUAAAAUUGGAAGAAAAAUAAAGAACAAGCACAAAAGAGAAUACCAGAAAUUACGUGGUUCUGCUUUUAGCCUACGUCCACGAGCGAAGACAGAAGGAAAUAUUUUACUAGUAAAAAGGAGUUACAAGUAUUGUAAUAUUUUAGCUCACUUCCCAAAACCCCAAUACACCCAAACUCUCAAAUUACUAUAACAAGAGCUUAUAAUUUCAAGCUCUCUAAACUUUCUCUCAAAAAUGCUAAAUUGUUCUCUCUUAAUGGAAUACUACAGCUCUUCAUUUGCACUUCUAUUUAUAGCAAAAUGAUGGCCAAGAAACUCAAAACCGUGUUCCUCUUUUUCAAAACUGUGUUCCUCCUUUUCUUCUUCAAACUGCUUCUUUCCAUUUUCCUUUUCAAGCAUUUCGGCCGGCCCAUUUUUUUCUUCUUUCUUUCUUCUUUUUAUUCUUUCUCUUUUGUUUCUUUCUUUGGGCGGCACCUCCCAACCAAGACAACCAAGACUUUAACAUUCUCCCACUUGGAGAUUUGAUUGAGAAUCAAUCAAUCUCCACACCAUCCUUUCUGCUUCGCCAUAAUCAUGUUGCCUACGUUUCUGCUAGGCCACAAGAGGAUCUACUCCAGAUAAACUUGUCAACAUUUAUCGGCUUGGUCAAAACAUUUGCUAGGUUCUCCUUCGUAUAGAUUUUCUGUAAAUCCACAUUUCCGUCUUCUACUACUUCUCGAACGAAGUGAUACUGAACUCCUAUGUGCUUUGUCCUGGAAUGAAAAGCUGGAUUCCUUGCAAUGUGCAAGGCACUCUGACUGUCACAAAACACAGAAAUUUUCUCUUGUUUGUGCCUGAGCUCCUCCAAUAACCUUUGUAUCCAAAUAGCUUCCUUGCAAGCUUGUGUAGCUGCCAUGUACUCUGCUUCUGUUGUAGAUAAAGCCAUAAAGGUCUGCAGUUUUGAAACCCAGCUUACAGCUGCUCCUGCAAGUGCAAACACAUAACCAGUAGUGGAUUUCCUUUUAUCAAGGUCUCCUGCAAAAUCUGAAUCCACAUAGCCCUUGACAGUAAACUCUGAUCCUUCAUAACAUAAUGCAACAUCUGAGGUUCAUUUGAUGUAUCUCAGAAUUCUCUUCACAGCUAUCCAAUGCUCUCCACCAGGAUUCGCCAUGUAUCGACUGAUUGCUCCCACUGCUUGUGCAAUGUCUGGUCUAGUACAUAUCAUAGCGAACAUCAAACUUCCCACUUCUGAUCCAUACGGUACUCGAGACAUCUCCUUCCUCUCUGCUUCAUUGCUAGGACACAUACUUGAGGAUAGUUUGAAAUUAACAGGAAGUGAGGUAGAAAUUGACUUCCAAUCUUGCAUGUUGAAGUGCCGCAAGAUUUUCUUCUGUGAAAGCCAAAUCUUCCUGUUAUUUCUGUCUCGAUGAAUUUGCAUCCCUAGAAUCUUGUUUGCUGGUCCCAAGUCCUUCAUUUCAAACUCCCUAGCCAACUGUGCCUUCAAUUCUUAGACUCGAUCUUUGUUGGAGCCUGCUACCAACAUGUCAUCCACACACAACAGCAAAAUAAUGAAAUCAUUAUCUUCAAACCUCUUGUAAUAUGCACAAUGGUAUGAAUUGAGUCUGUUGUAUCCAAGGCUCAUGAUGAAGGAAUCAAAUCUCUUAUACCAACAUCUCGGCGCCUAUUUGAGACCGUAUAGAGAUUUGUUCAACCUGCAAGCCAAGUUCUCCUUUCCUCUUUUUGCAAAACCUUCUGGUUGGAGCAUAUAUAUUUCUUCUUCAAGUUCUCCAUGAAGAAAUGCAGUUUUCACAUCUAACUGCUCAAGAUGUAAGUCAAAUGUAGCACACAUCGCCAAGACUACUUUGACUGUUGUAAGUCGAACCACCGAAGAAAAUAUCGCGUUGAAGUCAAUACCUUCUUUUUGAGCAUAUCCUUUCACUACCAUUCUUGCACGAUACCGCUCCACUUGGUCAUUGCCAUCAUGUUUGAUCUUGUAGACCCAUUUGUUUCCAAUGACUUUUCUUCCUUGUGGUAGUGGUACAAGUUCCCAUGUCUUGUUCUUGUGUAAAGCUUCAAUUUCUUCCUGCAUUGCUGUCAUCCACAAAGCAACAUCUGAGCUUUCUAAAGCUUCAUGGAAAGUUGAUGGCUCUCCAUCCUCUGUUAGAAGAUAGUACGCAACAUUGAUCUCUGUGACAUACUCCGAGUGCCACACUGGCGGUUGUCUCUCACGAGUUGACUGACGAACUUCUGGAGCCUCGGACUCGUCUGAUUCUUGUUCCUCGUGCUCUGGUGCUGCUUCAGAAGAAUCUGAAUCUUCUGGAUUAUUUUCGACAUAUACCGGCACAGUCUCUGACUUUUCUUUUGCAGUGCCAUCAUCCUCAUCUCUCCUUUGCAGUUGAUCUUCUACAAAGAUAACAUCUCUACUGAUGACGAUCUUGUGGGCAGUGGGGUCCCACAGACGAUACCCCUUUACUCCAUCAGCAUACCCCAAGAAGAUACAUUUUCUAGAUUUUGCAUCCAGCUUUGUUCUUUCUUGGGCAUUGUACAUCACGUACACAGGACAUCCAAAUGCAUGUAGGUAGGAAUAAUCAGCUGGCUUUCCAGUCCACAUCUCCAUCGCUGUCUUCAGCCCAAUAGCUGUAGAUGGCGAUCGAUUUACUAUAUAAAAGGCAGUUUUGGCUGCUUCUGCCCAGAAUGAAUUGGGUAGACCAGCAGUCCUCAACAUAACUCUUAUUCUUUUUGUAAGAGUUCUGUUCAUCCGAUCUGCCACUCCAUUUUGUUGAGGAGUGUAUGCCACCGUGAACUGCCUCUGAAUACUUUCUUACUUACAGAAAGCAAGAAACUCGCCGUCUGUAUAUUCUCCACCAUUAUCUGUCCUCAAGCACUUGAUCUUUUUACCAGAUUUAAGUUCCACCUGUGCUUUGUAUUCUUUAAACACUAGAAAUACAUUUGACUUUUUCUUAAUUGGAUACACCCAACAUCUUCUGGAAUAAUCAUCAAUGAAAGUCACCAUGUACUUUGCACCUCCCAUUGAUAUAUCCGGUGAUUCCCAAAUAUCAGAAUGAAUCAAGUCUAAAAUGCAUUUACUUCUAACAACAGAUCUACUGAAUUUUAAUAUAUGCUGCUUACUUGUAACACAAUGCUCGCAAAAUGGUAAACUUACCGAUUUGAGCCCCGGAAGCAAUUUUCGCUCAGAGAGAAUCUUCAAAGCUUGUUCUGACAUGUGGCCAAGUUUGAGAUGCCACAUCAUCGUUGAUUCUUCUCCAUUUGACGCGAUACACGCAUCAGCCUCCUGUAGUGUUUCUCCUUUAAGCAUGAAUAAAUUAGCACCGAUCUUUUCUGCCUUCAUCAAUACAAGCGCGCCUUUAACAAUCUUCAUAAUUCUAUUCUUCACAUGAGUUUUGCACCCAUGACUGUCUAUUUGUCCCAAAGACAAUAGAUUUUUCUUCAGGCCGUUGACAUGUCGUACCUCUCCAAUUGUGCGAAUUGUAAUAUCAAAUAUUUUUAUUUUGAUAGUACCAAUACCAGAGAUCUCCAAGGCAUGAUCAUCUCCCAUAUAUACAGAUCCUCUUGAGAUAGGUUCAUAUGUGUGGAACCAUUCUCUCCGAGAGGUCAUGUGCCAGGUAACUCCUGAGUCUAUAAGCCAGACAUCAGAUAGUCAUUUUCUGCCUUCUGAAAUAGUUAUUGCCUCGCUGUAGAGAAUUUCGCCAUCAUCCGAGGUACUUGCUACACACCCUUGAGCAUUUGAUGACUCAAGUUCUUUGCCCUCUUUUCUCUUCUGGUUACUCUAACACUCUUUCUUGACGUGUCAUUUCUUGCCACAGUUGUAGCAUUUAACAUUCUUCUUAUUUCUGGAUUUUGAUCUACCAUGAUUUUGACUCCCACUGGGGUCACGUUCCGUUGAUCUCCCUCUCGUCACCGAUAGUGCCUCCACUUGCUGCUAACUUGCUUGUUUGUUUCCUUAUUUUUCUGCUUGCUCUCCUCAUUUAAUACGGAGGCUGCAACAUCGUCGAAAACUAGACUAUCCGCUGGAUUAUUGUUCGUCAGGUUGAUGAUGAGUUGAUCAUACGAAUCUGGUAGACUUUGAAGUAGAAGCUCUGCACGUUCAUUUUCUUCUAUAUUAUGACCCAACGUUGUGAGUUGUGAAAAUAGAGCCUUCAAGGUGUUAAUGUGGUUACUCACCAUUGUAGAUUUCGUCAUUCGAAGAGUAUAGAGUUUCUUCUUCAAGAAGAUUUUGUUGUGUAGUGACUUGGCCUCGUACAAUUUUGUGAAAGUGUCCCAUAUUUCUUUCGCUGUAUUUUUCUCUGCCACACUGGAUAAUACUCUGUCUGCAAGUGCCAAGUGUAGAUCAGAAAUGGCGUUGCCAUCUACCUCGUUCCACUUGUCAUCAGUUAUCUCUAUGGGCGUUUCUCCAAUUGCUGCCAAGCAAUUAUUUUUCCUUAAUACAGCUUUCAUCUUCAUUUUCCACAACGAAAAAUUAUUUCCGUUAAAUUUCUCAAUUUCAUACUUUGUCGCCAUUUUGUUGAUAAAUACCGCACACAAGCUAGUGUACCACCUUGAAUAAUUGUGAGUAUGUGUGCGAAUGUACACCAGGAAAGACUGGAGGGGUCACAAUGGUCCCACUUAAACCCAGACUCCUUAAGCUCUUAUCGCCUUUGUGACAGAACUUUCCUAGACAUGUACAAAACCACACAAGUGCUUUACUCACACCACUAUUCCCUACUUUGCACCGCAAAAUUCUUGGAUUGCUCCCAUCGUUUCUUGUGAAUAGUUUCGUAUACGUGAACAGUACCGUAUACGUGAAUAGUACCAUAUACGUGAACAGUACCGUAUACGUAAAUAGUACCCCUUACGUGAACAGUACUCGACUCAAAAAAUACAACCAAUAGCUAUGAUACCACUAUUAGGAAAUUGGUGGGUGAAGCAGGACCGCAGUUAAAAUAAAAUUGGAAGAAAAAUAAAGAACAAGCACAAAAGAGAAUACCAGAAAUUGCGUGGUUCGGUUUUUAACCUACGUCUACGGGCGAAGACAGAAGGAAAUAUUUUACUAGUAAAAAAGAGUUACAAGUAUUGUAGUAUUUUAUCUCACUUCCCAAAACCCCAAUACACCCAAACUCUCAAAUUACUAUAACAAGAGCUUAUAAUUUCAAGCUCUCUAAACUCUCUCUCAAAAAUGCUAAAUUUCUCUCUCUUAAUGGAAUACUACAGCUCUUCAUUUGCACUUCUAUUUAUAGCAAAAUGAUGGCCAAGAAAGUCAAAACCGUGUUCCUCUUUUUCAAAACCGUGUUCCUCCUUUUCUUCUUCAAACUGCUUCUUUCCAUUUUCCUUUUCAAGCAUUUCUGCCGGCCCAUUUUUUUCUUCUUUCUUUCUUCUUUUUCUUCUUUCUCUUUUGUUUCUUUCUUUGGGCGGCACCUCCCAACCAAGACAACCAAGACUUUAACACAGAUUUAACUAGUGGAGAAGUUGGGAACUUUUUUUUUUUUUUUCUAACACAUGCUAAAAAUAUUUCAAUAAAUUAUGAUCAUGCAGACUAAUAAGAUUUUUUUAGUUAUAUAUAUUAAUUUUUUAGGGACUAAUAUGAAUAUUACUAAUUUUUUUGAGAUUAUUAAAAAACAAUGUUUUGACUUACCAAUAUGAUUUUUCCAAUCUUUUUUCUUUUCGUUAUUUAUUCCUUUGUGAAUUAGAGUUAAUGCUUGAUAUUAUUUUUGUGCUCAUUUUUAAAAUUAGUAAUUAAAUUUGAAUCUUAUAGUAGAAGUUUAUGAAAAAGUAAAAAUUCAAAAAUCAUAAAGUCAUUACUAGAUCCAAAUUUGUGCUAUUUUCAUACAUAACUUGACAAUAUUUAUAAUGAUGCAUCACAACUAGUGGAGUAGAAUCGGGGAAAUUAAACAUUCUACAAUCAUUGACGUGUGGGGUGGGGAUAAGCAUAAACUUUUUCUAUGCUGCAUAAAAGAAUGCAAUAACUCCUUUUCUUUCAGUAUUUUCGCAACAAAAGCACAUCUAAUAACUCUUUAGAAUUCUCGUUUUCUUUGCCACAAUGGUUGAAGCGAUCGUUUCCUCUCUCCUGGAGCAGCUGAUCUCUGUUGCGGCUGAUGAAGUGAAACAGCAGGUAAGGCUUAUGACUGGUGUCCGAGAAGAAGUGAAAAAGCUUACCACCAAUCUUCAGGCCAUUCGAGCUGUGCUGGAGGAUGCAGAGCAAAGGCAAAUGCAGCAAGACAAAGCUGUUACUUUUUGGCUGGAUCAGCUUAAAGACGCAUCUUACGACAUGGAAGAUGUGCUGGAGGAGUGGACCACUGCAAGGCUCAAAUUGCAACUUGAGGGCGUUGAUGAUGACAAUGCUCUUGCUCUUGCUCCUCACAAGAAGAAGGUACGUUCCUUCUUUCGUGCUGUAUCAAACUGCUUUGGUAGUUUCAAACAACUCAGUCUUCGUCAUAACAUUGCUGUCAAGAUUAGGGAAAUCAAUGAAAGGCUAGAUGAUAUUGCAUCUCAAAAAGAUAGGUUUAAAUUUUUUGAGAAAGUGAGUAACCAUGUUAAGAAACCAGAGCGAGUGCGAACCACCUCCUUGGUUGAUGAGGGAGAGGUUUGCGAUAGAGUUGAUGAGAAAAAUGAGCUCUUAAACAAGUUGUUGUGUGAAAGUAGUGAACAACAAAAAGGCCUCCAUGUCAUCUCACUAGUUGUCUUAGGGGGUAUAGGUAAAACCACUCUUGCACAACUAGCCUAUAAUAAUGAUGAGGUGAAAAGAAAUUUUGAAAAAGUUAUAUGGGUGUGUGUAUCAGACACUUUUGAGGAGAUUAGGGUUGCCAAAGCAAUCAUUGAAGGUUUAGGCGAGUCAGCUUCUAGUUUAAGCGAAUUCCAAUCUCUUAUGAGCCAUAUCCAUAGAUCAAUUGAAGGAAAAACGUUUUUUCUGGUUUUAGAUGAUGUAUGGGAUGGGAAUUACAACAAAUGGGAACCAUUCUUCCUUUGUCUAAAGAAUGGUCACCACAGAAGUAAAAUUUUGGUUACCACACGUAAUGAGUCAGUUGCACGUAUGAUGGGAUUUUCUAGUGGUUCUUUUGAUGAUCGUGAAAAAUUAAAACCAAUCAGGCGAAAAAUUACACACAAGUGCAAAGGUCUGCCUCUUGCUGCAAAGGUAAUAGGGAAUCUCUUGCGCUCUAAAAGUACAAUAAAAGAGUGACAAAGAAUUUUAGAUAGUAAAAUGUGGAAAGUAGAAGAGAUUGGGCAAGGUCUUUUGACUCCUUUGUUGUUGAGUUAUAACUAUUUGCCCUCCAAUUCUAUGGUAAAACGAUGUUUCUCAUAUUGUGUUGUCUUUCCAAAAGACUACAAUAUGGAUAAAGAGGAGUUGAUUAAUCUAUGGAUGGCUCAAGGUUACCUUAAUGCAGAUGAAGACGAAGAAAUGGAGAUGAUUGGAGAAGAGUAUUUCAACAUUUUAGUAGCACGCUCUUUCUUUCAAGAGUUUAAGAAAGAUAAUGAUGAUAAUAUUAUGAGUUGCAAGGUGCAUGACAUAGUACAUGAUUUUGCGCAAUUUGUAAGUAGAAAAGAAUGUUUGUGGCUAGAAAUUAGUGGUACCAAAGAAUUAGUCAUAAACGCUUUUGGCGAUAAAGUCUGUCACUUAGGGUUAAAUUUUGAAGGAGGAGCUUCAUUUCCUAUGUCCAUUCGUGGACUUGAUAGAUUGCAUACCCUCUUAAUUUAUGACAGAAGUCUUCCCAAUCGGGGUCUUAAUAGUAGCAUCCUUCUGGAGUUAUUUAGUAAAUUGGCGUGUUUAAGAGCAUUAGUUAUAAGCCAAUCGAUCUUAACAUUUUUUCAUCCUGACGAAAAUUGGAUUAGAGAAAUUCCAGAAAAUGUUGGAAAAUUGAUACAUUUAAAAUAUCUUAAUUUGUCUUAUCUAGUUAUAGAGAGACUGCCUGAGACUUUGUGUGAAUUAUAUAAUUUACAAAAGCUAGAUAUUAGGUGGUGCCCAAAUCUUACAGAAUUGCCAGCGGGGAUUGGGAAGUUAAAGAACAUGAGGAGUUUACUAAAUGCUGAAACUCCGUUAGACCACUUGCCAAGAGGGAUUUCCAAAUUAACCAGUCUGCGAACAUGAGACAGGUUUGUGGUGGGUGGAGGUGUUGAUGGUAGCAAUACGUGUAGGCUUGAAUCUCUGACAAAUCUUCAACUCCUUCAAGAAUGUGGAAUAGAAGGGCUGAGUAAUGUGUCACAUUUAGAUGAGACUGAGAGAUUAGAACUCCACAAUAAGAAAAACCUCCUUCGUUUGCGUCUUGAGUUUGGUGAAGUCGUAGAUGGGGAAGGCGAAGAAGGGAGGAGGAAGAAUGAGAAAGAUAAACAACUUCUUGAAGUCUUACAACCGCCUUUGAAUGUAGAGGAAUUAGAGAUUGAAUCCUACCGAGGCAACAUUUUUCCCAAAUGGUUGACUUCACUAACCAAUCUAAGGAAUUUAAAUCUUCUCCUUUGCGUUAAAUGUGAGCAUUUGCCUCCUUUGGGAAAAUUGCUUCUGGAAAAACUCGAAAUACGCAACUUGGAAAGUGUAAAAAGAGUGGGUAAUGAGUUUUUGGGAAUAGAAGAAAGCAGUGAGGACGACCCAUCUUCAUCUUCAUCUUCAUCAUCAACAUCAGUUAUUGCCUUCCCCAAAUUGAAAUCACUCGAAAUUUGGGACAUGGAAGAAUUGGAAGAGUGGAAUUAUAGGAUUACGAGGAAGGAAAACAUCUCCAUCAUGCCACGUCUUUCUUCCUUGACGAUUUGGUAUUGCACCAAAUUAAAGGCGCUGCCGGAUUACCUUUUUCAAACGACGGCACUGCAGAAAUUGAGUAUUUUUUCUUGUGAUCUUCUAGAAGAACUGCCAAUUCUAGAAGAUCGCAGGACAACAGACAUACCACGUCUUUCUUCCUUGCGAAUUGGGUAUUGCCCCAAAUUAAAGAGAGGGGAAAGGAGAAAACUGGCAUAAGAUAUCUCACAUUCCCCACAUCAUGCUGUCGGCGUAAGAUAUCACUCGCCGGUAAUAAAAAUAAUUAUAUUUUGAAUUAAAAUUCUAUAUAUUGCCAAUGUCUGACAGGAAUAUAUAAUAUUUUUCUAAUAUUUUGAUUUGCAUAUUGAAUUUUGUUUACUUCAACCAUUAAUUUAAUGGGUCACUCUGAUGUUGUUAUAAAAAUUAUAAAAUCAAUCAUGGUAUAUAUAUAUAUACUGUUAGAGUUAAUCAAUAAUUCAUAAAGUCAAAAGUUAAUUAAGAUAAUAUUUUAAUUUCAGUUAUUUAAAAUUUAAACUUCCUAGCUAUCAAAUCUGUUAAACUUAUUUUAUCAAGGUUAAAUAAAAUAUAUAUAUAUAUAUAUAUAUAUAUAUAGUCUAUUGAAAUUUCUAUAUUUUCUUCUAAAAAAUAUGUAGUCUUUUAUAAAAUUUCAUACAACAUCAUAGAAAAUUCCAAUGUAAUUUAUUUUUUAAUGUACGAAUAUUUGUUAUGUGUAACUUCUUGAGAGACAAAAUCUUUGCGAUACAUUUGCAGUAAUGUUGAUAAUCGUAUUUUUUUAUAUAUAAUUUAUGUGACAUUAAUUCUUUAAAGUAAUUGUGUGAUUGUUUUUAGUAGUACAUUAGCCCACUUUGUUUUAUUUCAUACGAGUUUAAUUAUGUUCACCAGGGAUUCUAGGAAAUGUCAGAACUACACUAGCAAUUCGCAGGUCCACGCUAAUUUGGUUCUAAUGAUGCACGCAGGAGAGCAAGAUUAUGAAAAUGAAUAGUUUAGCCAAAGGAUUGCUAAAAUGUUUUGCUGGUAAUUCACUUGCUUUUUUUUAUAGAAUUUCAUUUCCAUCUUCUUCUAUUGAUAUCUUGUUGUGAAUAAACAAGAACAGAAAAGUAACUAUAUAUAUAAAAAUUCCCUAUUAUGAUGAUGUUAAAGCAAGCUCAAGCUCAAACAUUGCAUUUUUAUUUUAUUUAAUUUAUAGAAUUUUCAUUUCUACCUGGAUUGCAUUUUUAUUUCAUUUUCAGGUUGACUUUGAAAACUCUAUGGAGCACAUUGGGGUAACCAAGGAUUAUCACUGUGGUUAUUGUGCAACGUUUGGUUGCUGGACUUUGAAGAAGGAAGUGAUGGCCGGGUCCGCUCUGUUUCAAUUGAGGAUGGAUAGCUGCCUGAAAGACAUGAUGAUUAUUAUUGCAUGAUGUUAAGGUGCUAAGAUCAUCAUUUCUAUCUUGUUUCAUUCUUUGAUCAGUUUAUCCUAUAUAAACAUAUGGAAUUAUGCAAAUAUUAUCAAUUUUUUCACCUAAUUUUCACUGUUGUUGCGAAAACAAUUUCAGGCUCUCAAAAGCUACAAAGCAAAGCAUUUGUGGGCUGAUCAUAUGUUUCAAUUGAGGAAGGAGCUUGGUGUUGGCAAUAUUGUCCAGGUAACCACAGCUGAUAAUUUCCACAAAUUUGCAUUGUCAGAAUACACUUUAAUGUUCAUUGGGUUCCUAUGUGUUAUCAGGUUAUCGUGGUAUGUAAAGUAUCAUCUUUAAGGAUUCGUAAGAGACUUCGCAGUAAACUUAGUUGUCACUAUCUCCUGCAAUUGCUCAUUCAUUCAAGAGUACUUCAAAAUUAGAUUUUCAAGGUUUGUAUGUUUAGUUGCGAUCAAAAUGUUUAGUCACUCAUUCGUAAUCUUUUCUGAUUUUCAAGUUCUUUAGGGCCAUAAACAGUUUUCCAACUCAUUCUUAAUUUUUAGGUUGAUUUCGAGUACCCUGUUGAGGACAUUCCUGACACCAAGGAUUAGGCUGGCGAAGGAACUACUACCUCUGUUGUCAUUGUGCAAGGUUUGAUCAUUCGACCUUGAAUAAGAAUGCCUUACACGCAUUCUGUAAUUCAAGCAUUCUCUAAAGGAAAAGAGCAGUAGAAGGGAUAGUGAUGGCCGGAUCUGCUCUAUUUUAGUUGAAGAUCUCUGUGAUGUCGAUGAACUUAAAGCAGUUGAUACUUCUUCAAAAUUGUUAUUACGGAUGAAUUGAUUCCUGGAGACGGGUAUCCAAAGGCGUAUUUUCAUAAACUUCCUUCUUUAACAAAUGUUCCAACGCUUGCUGUAGUAACAAUUUCAUAGCUUGCAUCUCUCGGGUGCGUCAUGUUCACGGGUUGGAAAAAGCAUUUGUCGUAAAGCUUCAAAGCUUGUAAAAUGGCUGUGAAAAGGCACAUUCAAUUCGGUAUGCUUUGGUGCGGUCUCCUAAUGCUAAUAUUAUAUUUUGUAUAGCAAUCUUAGUAUGCAAAAAAUCAUUGUGUCCAAAGUUUUCUAUUAAUUAUAUGGUGACUGAAAUUUUAAUUAUCAUAUAAAUCUUAAAAAUUUUUGUAACCCUAUUUUACUUUGCUUGUACAGAAUACCUGUUUUCGCUGAUAUGUCGAAUUCCUAGAAAUUCAUUUCCAUCGGUUUCCAUUGGUUUUAGCACAAACAGAAACAUAGAGCCCUGGGAAAAAGUUUUACUUUUGGUGGUAUUAUGCCUUAUUUUCUUCAUUCAUCAUAUUUGUUUCGAAUUCAUGCUCUCAUUCAGAGAGUAAAGCCUUUUCCAGGCUGCUUUGUAGCCAAAUUUUGAUGCCAUCGAUGCGUGAUUGUCAUUUAGAUCUUCGAAAUAAUUGUUAGAUUGGAGACGAAUCAGAAGAUAUUGUUCAAAGGGUAUUUAAUUAGCACCCUCUGAAUUUAGUUGGCAAUAAUGCAUUGAAAUGGUUGGGGAAAGUUAUUGUCUUAAUUAAAUUACAGGUGAUAAGAUGCUGCUUCAAUUUUGCAAGCAUCUUAUACUGCGAAGAUUCUGCCCACAUGAGAUGCUGUGAUUCUUGACGUCAGGAUAACACAGGUCAAAUUUUAGUAUCAAUAUAUAUCAUCUUCUUUACUGUUCUGCCUCUAAAUAUUAAACUUUAAGCAAGUUGUCUGUGAAUGUUUUCCUUCAAUAUUAAUACACUGGCAUUUCUUAGUAAAUUCUCUUCACGUCACUUCCUCCUUGUUGGUGGGAUUAGUAAACAAAUGUCAUUUCUUAGUACAUUUUGAGAAUUUUGACUCCCAAAUAAGCCUGCAGAGCGGUGUAUGGUGGGAUUAGCUGCGGGAUUCUUUGCCAAACUUCCUUUUUAUUCCUUUGUUCACUUAUUCGUUAUAAAUAAAGUAAAAUUAGAAUAUUGUUCCGUUUACUGUCUAAGCUGGUCUAACAUUUGUUUAAUUUGGGCAAUUUUUAAUGCCUAACAGGUUAUCUGUGACAAACCCAUCGGUGAGUGUAUGCAACUAUUGCGUGGAUUUGAUAGAGUGGUCACCAACAAUUUUGAAGUUAUUGGAGUAGCACGGCUUUGAGGUCUCCCCCUCCCUCUUUUACGUAUUUGUCUAUUGAUCGACAUGUCUAUAUAUACAUUGAUAGACCAACUUACUCUUGUUUUAAUGUUUUGUUUGUUAAACUUUGACUGGGGAAAGUUUAUUUGUCUCAUAUGAUGUCAAUGUGGUUCCUAUUGAAGUGUAUAGAUCUGUCACCUCAAAGUCUGAUUUCAAUUAAUUUUCCUUUACUUCAUCAACUAGCAUCCUUUCCAAGUCCAGAUACUUACCAAUAGUGAGACUUUGCUACGGAAGUACAAUUUCUCUUGUUUUACAGUUAAUUAUGUAAGAAAAGUUUUAAAUUUACAGAAUUCUGAUAUAGCUCUCUUAAGGAAAUGCGAGUGGUGAAUAUGGUUCCAACUUUUAAUAGGCUUAAUAGGCCCAUUUGUUGAGCCACAGUGAUUGCGGUCUAAAUUCUUCUUUACUGUCUAUAUGUGUUGGAGUUUGUCUAUUGUCCAACUUCUCAAAUCGAUUCCAUGCAGGGUUUUGAAUGUCUAAUUAGGAGAAAGAUUAACGGAUGACCUUUUGAAGAAGGCUUACACAACAGGCCAUCUCAGGAUGUCAUGGCUCAGCUCAAAAGUCCCCAGGUGGUUGAUAUCAAAGAAUGCCAUUGUUUCUGGGCUUGGUCUCCUUGGCAUCAAACAAGAUAAUGUUGACUCUAUUAAAGGGGAAAUAAGGGCAACUAAAGCGCGAAGAAAGAGGAUAGUCCGGAGGAAGGUGACUGCAUAAAUUUGUUGGAGUUAAUGUAGUCAAUUGCCCAAUUUUGCUGCCUGUCGAAGAGACACAUCAUGGAAGUCCUCAUCAAACUCUGAGACACCUAAGAAAUAGUAGGAGGUGGUGGUACUCGCCUGGGGUUAAUUUCCUGGCAAGUAUAGUUCACUGAUAGAGGGAAUCUUCUCUUGAUGUGUAAAUACCGUAUGUGAUACAAUGUCGUGUAUAUUCUAAUUUUCCUUGAGUUAAAUUCUAGUCAGUUAGGAAAGUUAAUUUUGUUUUCGCUAUGGAUUGUUUCCUAGAUAAAAAUAGUUUCCAUGUUCCUUUGGGGUCUUAUUAACUCUCUGUAACCCAGUUCAAGUUUGCAAAUUCUAUUUCAGAUUUCUCAUAUAGUGUGCCUUUGUCACUUCUGUGAUACACUUUUGAUCACAAGUUUCCAUUUGAAGUAGCCAAUAUUCUUUAUAGACUAAUUAUCUAAGGAUUAUUUUAUCCAAAAAAUCAAAACUUUAAUUAAUUGAUCAUAACUUAACUUAGCUCUUGUUUGAUAUUACUAGCUGUUGUGAGAAAAAAAAAAUAACAGAAAGUUGACAAUGUGCAGUAAAUGUAUGACUUUUAAAUAAUAAUUUAAUAAAAUUAAUAAAGAUAUUAUAAGUUUUUUAAUAAUAAAGUAUGAGAUCAAAUCAAAUUAAAUUUUAAGUCAAAAUAGCAAAUAUUUACUUAAAUUGUUUAAUUAUGUAGCUUAAAAGGUAUAGUUGUCCAACCUCAACACAAUAUCGAGAUUUACCGAACUCUACCCGACUUUAGUUGUACUGACUCGAUCAUGCAAGUCCACACUCGACGCGUUGACCAUACAAGAUGUUACUCAACUUUAACAAAUCUUACUCAAACUUUGCACGUUCGACAUGCCGGAUGGAAAAUGACAGUAUAUGAUAGUAAUAGAAUAUUAUAAGAAUAGUUAUAACAUGAUUAUACUUAGUACUAGUUUAUAUUUUAUGUGAUGUAUGUAGUAUAUGAAUGGAUUAUAUUACAAAUUUUAUUGUUAUAAUAAUUAAAAUUUUGAAUUAUUUUAUUAUUGAAAAAAUGUAAUAUGUUAAAUAAUAAUAACAGUUAUUUUUAUUAAGUAUUUUUUUAUGUAAUGAAUUAUACUUUUAAAAUAAAAUAAAAAAUUCUUAUUACUGAACUGAUAAAAAAUUAAUUAUUUGAGUUAUCUCCUAAACUACUUAACUCACGACAUAAAGUCACUUAGUUUAAAACGAAGCGGUGAGUUUUACGUGGGAGCCACGUCCUUUCCACAUCAACCUCAACAUCCAAACAUGAAAUUGGACUAAAAAUAGUUCUUUCCAAUGUAUUUGCGUAACCUCCUCCCACUAAACGCAAAUAUGUAUUCUUGAGUGCAUAAUUACUAACAUAAUUUUCUCCCUUUGCCAUAUUGUCGACGUUGAGUGCAUGUAAUCUACAAGUUUGAUUGAGCAGAAGAUGACGUUGUCACAAAGGCCUGGACACCAUACCUCGAACCCAUCCCUUUUUUUGUUCGAAAGAAAAGAAUGAUAUGUUGGUAUGAAAUUAUGUUAAAAUGAAUAUAUCACCUUUUUUUUCUUUUUUUGCGUGAGUGAUGGCUUUGUUUACUGACAGUUGACAGACAACGAGUUAUCUUUUAAUUUUGAUUUUGAUUUAGAUUUAAUACAAAAUAUUAAUUUUUGUAGUUUCGGUAGAUGAAAUUUCGAAUCAAAUAUUAAUAUUGUUAAAGUACGCAACCCAAUAUUUGCUUAAAUUACAAAAAAGAUUAAUUGCUUUGCAUAAAAAAAAAAAGUGAUCACUUGAUUUAACUUCCUUUACUAAAUUUACGAUUUAAAAUUCAAAAUAAAAAAAAAGGAAAACAAAUUUUGGAGACACACUCGGAGUUUUAAAUUGAUAUGAAAAAAGAGUUUAUUAUUGAUUAUCUUUUUCCCAAAAUUUAAGCUAAGACAGCAAUAUGUCCAAAAUACACUCCACAUUAUCCUAAAACUUUAUGAACUCCCCCGUUCCUCUCAACAUCAUCUCUUCCAAAUCUUUCUCCCCCCAAAAAACCAGCCAUGGCUUCAUAUUUAGUUAUCUCAACACUCCAUUAUUGGCUUGUAAACAGUAGCGGCUCGACCUCUAGGCAACUUAGGCGGUUGCAUAGGACUCCACUUUAUAUGAAAGCCCUACGAGAUGAUUAUUUUGUAUAUAAAAGAGGAAAAUGAAUUUAAAAGUCAUUAUUAUUAAUUUAAUUUAUUAUUAUUUUGUAAUUAUCUUUUUUAAAAUAAACUAUCAAAUUCCUAUAAAGUUUAUUUAAUAUAGUACUUAAUUGUUUAAUUUCUACAAAACCAAUAAAUUAAUAGUUUCAAUCUUAAAAAUUCUCUAUUUCAUUGUUAGAAUUAAUAAGUUAUAUUUCAAAAGUUUUAUAUUUAUUUUAAACCUCUAUAAAAGCCCCACAUUUUAUUACUUAUCCAUUAAAUUUUUCCUCCAACAAUCAAGACAUCUUGGUGUUUGAGUGAAAGAGAGAGGGAAAAAAAUCUUGCUUCGUGCCUGUUUGGUAUGACAUAUUUAAGAGCCAUAAGUGCUUAUUUAAUUAUAUAAGCACUUUUUAAAAUUUUUUAUGGUGUUUGGUUAUUUUUUUAGUAGAGUUUUUUUAACUUAAAUAAGCUAAUUUACCUCUACUAGCAAAAGCUCAAAAUUUGAGCUUUUGGAAGUAGAGGUUAUAGAGCUUUUCUAAAAAUAUAUAAUAUAAAAAAUAUUACACAGUUUAAUGAUUCAAAAGUACUUUUUUUAUUGACAACCAAACACCGAAUGACUUUUUGUCCAAAAGCUCUAUUGGUAUAAGCUCUACUGCUAUAAGCUCUAUUGUUAUAAGCUCUAUUUAAUAAGAUGUACCAAACAGAGCCUUCCUCUACUUUCUACUCUAGAAGAAAAAGAAAAAAAUCUAAUAGUUUUCUCUAUUUUCUAUGACUAUUGGUCGUUACUCAAAUUUUAAAACAAUAGCCUUAAUAUAAACAUAAGUUAAUUUAUGAUUUCAUCUCAAAUUUCUGAUUUUAUAUUUUUAUUAUUCUCUUAAUUAGUUGUGUUGUUAUUUGUUCUUAUUUCUUUUUAAUAUAUUCUUUUAUUCAUCUACUUUUUUUUGUGAUUGUUUUAUCUAUUUUGAAAUAAAACUAUAUCAAAAAACUUUAGACAAUAGAAGAAUAGAAAAAUUAGUUUAAUUUAGAAAAAAAAGUAAAAAAGAUAUAAUUUAACUUAAAAAAAUAAGUGGAAAUGUUAUAAUUGAAUUAAAAUUUUAUGAAUUAACAACAAUAAAAUAAAUUUUUAUUUAAUAAUUUUACAUUUUAAAGUCUUUAAAGAAUUAAUUUUAAUAAAUAAUAUAUAUAUAUAUAUAUAUAUAAGUUACUUAUCUCUCCAUCCUCACUUACCUCUCCCUCACAUUCAUCCUCUACCACACAUCAACACCAACAUCAACAUCAACACCAACAUCAGCAUCACUACCAUCAUCACCUCUCAUUGGACCCCACAUCCUCAAGCCCAUCACAGCCGUCCAUAACCUCACCCUCCUCCUCCUCUCCCUCAUCAUGGCCGUUGGUUGCCCUCUCUCCAUCAUCCUCCACUUACCCCACCUCCGUUACACCCUCCGUUUCCUCCUUACCAUUUCUCCGUCUGGCAUGGCCUAAUUCCGACGGAAUCAACGACGGUCGUGAUGGGUUUUGGCUGCGAUUAUUCGCGCUUCAAACGGCGGCGUUUCGAUUGGUUUUUGGCGACAGUGACGGUGGGAAAGUGAUGGCUGGCUCAGGAGCUUUCGUUGCUACCAUCCAUGGACGGUGAGGUGGCGGAAAAUCGGAGAUAUGUCUGGGUCGGGUUUUCCGGGUCAGUUUGACAGCUUCCUCUAUCCCUCUCCCCCAUAAAACAUUACCCAGCUUCCUCUUAUUAUUAUUAUUAUUUUUCACAUACGUUACAGAACAUUAAUGAGAGAUGUUUAGUAAGGACUAUAUUGAUAUUUCGAUGAGUAGUAAAAAUUAAUGUUAAAAUUUUAUAGACGAGUGUAUAGUAAGAUGCUCAAAGUAUUAGAACAUACAUAAAUAAUCCCAGCUCUAAUAAAUUUUAUCCCUUCAGCAAAACAUAUCGAUAAAGUAUACAAAAGCACAAGGCAUGAGUACAUGUCAAUAACAAAUGAAAGUAAUUAAGAUAAAGAAUAUGCUUUAUUUCCUUUUAUUUUCGUUUUUUUUUUUGGUGUCUUUUGAAAGGAGACCAACUAGAUCAUGCAAGAAGUUAAUUUUUUUUUUAAAUAAAAAAGGGAGAAAUGAUGGUCUUACAAAGUUCCAAUAUAAAGUUUAUAAUAUAAAAUUAAUGAUGUGACAAUUAAACUAAUGGAGUAAGAAGUCCCAAAUAGAUUAUAUUUUGCUAAAGAAGUCAAUUCUACCAAGAAUACCUCUUUCUAUUGAAUUUAAAUGAUGAUUAUUUUUUUAUAUCAUAAAAGCUAAAAUAAUUGUGUGAGUAAUUUGAUUCUUUUACACUAUAAAAAUAAAUUCAGAAAAUGUUAGGGCAUGUUCUGUAUUUUAUUUUUAAAUUCAUAUUAUGAGAAUGAAAAUGGUGUUUUCAAGUUUAUAAAAUUUCAAUUGAAAUAUGUGUUUGUUAUUAUUUUAUUUAUCAUAUAUUUUCAAAAUGAUAAAAUAAUGGAUGUAUUAAGCAAUUUUACUACAUGCAAAUUAUUAUCUGUGUUUAAAGUUCAUAUAAAGCUUGUUUAUUUUUCAACAUACCAACUUCCAAUAAUAAUAAUAAAAUUUUUGUGAUAUCCAAUAUUAACUUUUUAAAUUAAUUAUUUUUUGUUAAUGUGUCCGCUGUUCAAUCGAUCUUCCUACUUUCUAUGCUUGAGAUUAGAUCAUUUGCUUCAAAGAUUCGAACUGGACUUAUAGUAGGAAAAAGAAUUUUCUUCAAUAUGAACUCUAAUUCUCUUUUUUUAUAUAUAUAUAUAUAUAAAAUCUAAUUCUCCUUUCAACAUUUUAACAUUUUGAUGAAAUAAAAAAUUAUUGGCGAAAGAUUACAUGCUUCCUUACAUUAGAGAACCAAACACUCAGAUAGGUAGUGUAAAUCUCUACUGAUCGUUGGUGAUUUUAUCAAAAUAAAAUUCAAUAAAAUGUAUAAGCACACUUAAAUCCGUCCAAAAAAACAUAAAUGACCCAGCAAAUAAAGAAAAGUACUGUGAAGUAAAAAUUGAAAAGUACAAUCCGUCGAUCAUUUGAUACGUAUUUUUCUUCACAGAACCUCAAUUCAAUAGACAAAAGCUCCUCUUAAUUUUUCUUUUCUAUUUAAAUAAAAGAACAAACGAAAUUGAUUACGGAGCCAUUAAUUUCCAAGAAUUAAUAAAUGAAAAGGCCCAUAAUUUUUGUUAACCCACCCCACUCUCAAGAAAUAAUUACAAUAAGUUCAAAUUAUUUUUUAAAAAUUGAAAUAAAGAAGAUGUAAUUACAAUAAGUUUGGAGAUUGAAUCAAAUAAAAUAAAAUACCUAAACUAUUAUAAACAAGAACUCUUGAUUCUUGGGGUAUUUUAGUCAUUUUAUAUUAUCAUGGUAAAUUAGUCAAAUAAAACUUAUCUUAAAGCAACCUAAAUGGUCAAAGACACCUAAGUUAAAAAAAAAAUUAUAUGAAUGAUUUAAUUUAUUGAUUGUCUAUACGUUUUAUUGAUAUAUAUAUUUUAAAAAUAGUAUGAACGUAUUACAAUUAUUUUCUGACAGCAAAGUAGAUUUGUAAAAUAAGUGGGUAGAAAAUAUCCCCGUCCUCAAACAAAUAAAUGAAUUAUCGGUGAUGCAUGCUUUUUUCCAACUUUUGUUUUUUUUUUCUUUUGGUUUUUUGUUUUUGUUUUAAAUGGCAUUGGCCCGACCACUACAAAUUAAUUAGAGAAUAUUUACAAUUAUGUAUCACAGCUGUGGAGUAGAAUCAGGGAAAUUAAAAAUGCCAAAAUUAUUGACGCGUGGGUUAGGCGACAAUAACCAUAAACAUUUUUCAUGUAGUGUAAGAAGAAUGCAACAACUCGUUUCUUUCGGUAUUUUUGCAACAAAAGUACGUUGAACAACUUCCCGGAGCAGCUGAACUCCUUUGCUGCUUGUGACUUACCAUAAAUCUUCAAGCCAUUCAAGCUGUGCUUGAAGAUGCAGAGAAGGCAAGUUGAUAUAAGAUGGUUGCAUGGAAUAAGCAGGGUAUCUUCCGAGGCUAGAAAUUGGGCUACGAGUAUUCGUUUUGGACAUAUAAUAUAGUUUCCAAGCUUGCGAUGAGUCGAACCAAAUGCAGAACAACCUAGGCUGUUAUGCCCUGCGAUUGAGCUAAAAAUUUCACUUCUUUUAUAGUCGUUUUUCAGUUUUAAGAUAUUUUUUUAUUUUUCUUGAUUCUUCUAGAAUUUUUAUCAUUUUUUCUAGAUGUUGGAUUUAAGUGCCAUCUAUUUUCUUUCUCUUAUUUAGAUUCGAAGAAUUUUAUUAUCAUAUAAUAUUUUGAAUUUGCUUAGUUUGUUAAAUUUGCUAUAUUUAGGCUCCUAUAAAUGGGAUUCAAAACCCUAAUUUUGUUCAUUCAAAUUAUUCUCAAUAAAACUUAUUAUUCAAAUACUAGUUUAUAUUAUCUAAUAGCUUUUUAGUGUUUCUGCAUCAUCAGCUGGUAUCAGAGCAAGUUCACUUGUCAUCAUGGUGCGACCACACAAUCAAAGGAGCAACCAUCCUGGAGACGAUGUUCAAAUAUUAGGUUAUCUCUUGUAAGCCAUAUUCAUAAAUGUAUUGAGGGAAAGAUACUUUUUUCUUGUCUUAAAUGAUGUGUGGGAUGGACGUUAUAAUUAAUGGGAACCAUUCUUCUGUUGUUUAAAGAAUGGUCUCUACGAUAGUCAAAUUUUGAUUACUGCACGUAAUCAGUUAGUAGCAAGCAUGAUGAGAUCAACAAAUCUUACCUUUCUUAAGGAAUUAAUUGAAGAAGAAUGUUGGUAAUUGUUUAAGCAGGUAGCAUUUUUUGGUCAAUUCUUCAAGGAUCAUGAUCAAUCGAUCAAAAAGUUGCAUGCAAGUGCAAAGGUUUGCCUUUUGUUGCAAAGAUAAUAGGGAAAUUCUUACACUAUAAAUGACCAAUAGAAGAAUAGAAAAGAAUUUUAGAUAGUGGAAUGUGGAAGGUAGAAGAGUUUGGGAAAGGUCUUUUGACUCCUUUGUUGUUAAGUUAUAAUGAUUUAUCGUCCAUAGUAAAACAAUAUUUCUCACAUUGGGCUAUCUUUUCAAAAGGUUACAAUAUGUGUAAAGAGGAACUAAUUACACUAUGGAUGGCUCAAAGUUACUUUAAAUGUAGAAGAAGGCAUUGUCUAAAGCAUGGUCUCCAUGAAAGUAAAAAUUUGGUUUCCACACGUAAUGAGUCAGUUGCAUGUAUGAUGGGAUCAAAAAAUAUUAUCUUCAUUGAGCAAUUGACUGAAGAGGAAUGUUGGUUGUUGUUCAAGCAGUUAGCAUUUUCCGGUCGCUCUUUGGAGGAUGGUGAAAAAUUAGAACCAAUCGGACGAAAAAUUGCACGCAAGUGCAAAGGCCUGCCUCUUGCUGCAAGGUAACAGGGAAUUUAUAGGGGAUGAUAAAUGCAUAUAUAGUGGCCAAGUCGCUCAUUACAUUUCAUCUCUCAUACGAAUAUGAUUUUGAAUUUGAAUUUCCAUGAAUAAUUGUCGGGCUGGUGCAGAUAUUCUUAAAAGGGCAUUAAGCUACCUCAUGAAAUUGGAAAGUUAUCAUUGCUUGAAUGAAAGCACCAUCUUCUGUUGUCAAGGCUUUCCCCACACGAUGAGAUUCUGUGCUUGUUAUCGGCCCCUUAAUUAUUUAUUAAAUCAGGUUUUUAUUAUCAAGUACAUCAUCUUAUUCACCAUUUUGGCUAUAUAUAAAGAUUAAAAUUUCUAACAGUUGUUUUGGAUUCUUGUGUAAUCAGAUAAUUGGGGCAAAUGUCAGAAUGAGGAUUGUUCAGUGCUACUGGUACGGCAAUGAUGGUGAUGGUGAGGAAGAUUGUUCGCAAGCCAAAUUGAGCCCUCCAUUUUGUGAAAUAACAUCCUCAAAUUUGAAUUGUUGAGCACAUGAAGUGAUGCUAAAGCCUUAAUAAUAGGACCUUCCAAUGAAAGUUUCAUUUGAGUGAAUUAUGGGAGAAUGAAACUUCUUGGAGUGAGUGAGAAAUUAAGCAUAUAUCAGCGAUUAGUGAAUGUUUUUCUUUAACAUUAGUACACUCUUAUUUCUUAGUAAAAUUCUCUUCACGUCGUUGACUGUGACGUAGACCAAAAGCUGAACAAUGUAAAAUUAUAUUGUUAUUUCCUUAUGCUUGUUUUGCUAUAUAUCAUUUCUGUGCAAUCAAGAAUGUAAUUUUGUAAUUAUUCAACUCUGCUUCCGCAAACAUGCGGUAUCUUGCAGAUUUUUUUCUCCCUUUUUCUUUCUGCGUUAAAACUGCAACAAAUGGAAGUGACUGGCUUGAUCUUAGCUCCUGUAAAAAAGUGCUUGGGACAAUGUCUUUUGUAUCAGCAAGUUAUCGAACAUCAUAAUUUAAAUAUAGAAUCCUGAGUUGCUAUCGAAAAUUCCAGGUGUUUCACUUCUCAGUUUCUUAAAAGCUACAAAUCUUGAUAUAUAUUGACAAAGCAAACCGUCCGUGGGCUGAAAUGCUUCCACGGAUCAGGAAGGAAUUUGGUGUUGACACUGUAUGUUAUGCGGAUAACUACAGUUGAUGAUUUUUACCCAAAAUUUGUCACAGUUGACAAUUCACUUACAGUGUUUCCUUGUGUUAUCAGGCUCUCAUCUGUGAAUUGAAAGAUUAAGAAAGAUUGAUUCUAACUGACUUAUGCAAUUGAAGAUUAUGAAAAAGCAUUUGCACUAAAGUUCCCAGCUUGUUUAAUUUCUGUGAAGAGGCACAUUCAUUCUGAGUACUUGAGUUUUAGAUUUCCAAGAUGUGUAAUUUUAGUUGCCAUUGAAAUAUUUAGUCGCUCAUUCUUAAAAAUCUGUUCUAAUUUUCCUGUUAUUUUGGGCCAUAAACAGCUUAACAAGUCUGCAUGUGGUUUCUAAAGAUUGAUGGUUAUGAUAAAUUGGAAGAUGCUCUAAAUAUAACAAAAGUAUAUUUCUACUUGUGGUCAAUUUACAUUUGUUUCUUGUGUCAUUAUGCAGAUUAAUUUAUUCGAAUUUAUCCUAUCUCAUUCAUUUAUUUUAGACAAAGUUUGAAAAAAAAAAAUUAUAAGUAUACAAUUUCCAAUGGAUUUGAUAGAGCGGUCAUCAACCAUAUUGAUGUUAUUGGAGUAGCACUGUUCUUAAGCACUGCUUUGAGGUCUCUCCCUCUCUAUAUACAUUGAUAGUCUAUUCUGGUCGUACCAAAUUAUCCUUGUUUUAAUGUUUUGUUUGUUAAACUUUGACUGGGGAAUCUGUUUAUUUGUCUGAUAAGAGGUUAGUGUGGUUUCUAUUGAAGUGUGUAGAUCUAUCACCAAGUAUUAUUUCAAUUUUUCUUUACUUAAUCAACUUGCAUCCUUUCCAAGUCCAGAUCCUUAACAAUAGUGAGACUUCGCUACAGAAGUACAAUUUCUCUAGUUUGACAGUUAAAUACGUAAGAAUGGUUUUAAAUUAACUGAACUCUGAGAUAGUUCUCUAAGGAAAUACAAGUAGUGAAUACCGUUCCAACUUUUAACUGCCUUAAUAUAUCCAUUUGUUCAGCCCUGUGCAUAAAAAAUCAGUAAUUGCCGUCCAAAUUCUUCUUUACUGCCUAUAUGUGUUGGACUUUGUCUAUUCUUCAACUUCUCAAAUGGAUUUUUUGAAUGUCCAAUUAGGAGAAAGAUCAAGGCUUGCUUGGCUACGAGUGGAAGCGGAUCCGCUACUUCAAUCAUAUGACCUUUUGAAGAAGGCUUACAACGGGGCGGCUCAGGAUGUCAAUGGCUCAACUCAAAAGUCCCCAAAGUGGUUGAUAUCAAAGAAUGCCAUUGUCUCUGGGCUUGGGCUCCUUGGCAUCAAACAAGGGAAUGUCGACUCUGUUGAAGGGGAAGCAAGGGCUCCUAAAGUGCGAAGAAAGAGGAUAGUCCGGAAGAAGGUGACCGCAUAAAUUUCUUGGGAGUUAAUCCUAGUCAAUAGCCCAAUUUUGCUGCCUGUCGAAGAGAUACAACACGGAAGUCGUCAUCAAACUCUUUUGAGACAUCUAAGAACUAGUAGGGAGGUGUUUCCAGGCAAGUAUAGUUCACUGAUAGAGGGAUUCUUUUCUUGAUGUCUAAAUACUAUAUGUGAUACAACGUCGUAUAUUCCAAUUUUUCUCCAGUUAAAUUCUAGUAAGUUAGAAAAGUUAAUUUUGUUCUAGCGAUGAAUUGUUUUGUUAGGCAGUGUUUACUUUCUGGAGUGAGAGUGAGGAGUGUGGAUUCCUCCCAUUCCAAUGUUUACUUCAACAAAAUAGGUAGGGAUUGGGAAUCCCACUCCGUGGGCCCCACCCAUUUUUGGAGUGGGGAGUGGGAGUGGGAGUCCACUCCCACCUCUCCCUUUUCUACCCUUUAUUUUUAAUUUAAUUUAAUAAAAUAAAAUAAUUUAUAAUUAUAUUUAUUUAGAUAAUAUUAUUAUAUUUAACUAAAUAAUAAUUUACAUUGAUUAUAAGUUAAAAUUACUUAAAAUAAUAAUAUUAUAUUAAUAGAUAAUUAAUAAAUAUAUGCUAUCUUUAUUUAAUAAUAUAAUAUUAUUAUAUUUAUUUUAAAAAUAAUAUUACUAUAUUUAUUUAAUAUUAAUAAUAAUAAAUAGUUCAUUCUAAGAAAAUAUUAAUUUUUUACUAAAUAAUAUUAUAUUAAUAAAUUUAAUAUAAUUAUAUAAAAUAAAAUAAUGUUUCAUUUUAUAUUUACCCUUCUUUUUAUUAAAUUUACUAUAACUAUAUUUAAUAAAUAUUUAAAUAAUAUUAUUAUAUUUAACUAAAUAAUAAUUGGGUUUGAUUCUAAGUUUAAUUUACUUAAAAUAAUAUUAUUAUAUUAAUAGAGAAUUAAUAAUAUUACUAUAUACAAUCUUUAUUUGAAAAUAUAAUAUUGUUAUAUUUAUUUAAAAUAAUAGUAUUGUAUUUAUUUAAUAUUAAUAAUUAAUACUAAUAAAUAGUUUAUUCUAAGAAAAUAUUAAUUUCAUACUAUGUUAAUAGUAAAAAUAUUUCAUUUAUAUUGCCCUUAUCAACAAUUUUUAAUUUAUAUAAUUAAAAUUAAAAAACUUGUGAUGUUCAUAAUUAAGAAUAUUAAUAAUUAUUAUAAAUUUACAAAUAUAAUAAAAUAAAUGUUUAUUCAUUAAAUAUAUUUUAUAUUAACUUUGUAAUUAAAAACUAUAAUUCUUUACAUAAGGAUAAAAUUGUAAUUUGAGACUAUUUACUCCCAAUCAAAGACAAAGUAAACACAUAAAUUGGAUUAUGAUCUCCAUUCCAGUGCAAGUAAACAACCUACUCCCACUCCCACUCCAUACUCCCAAUCCUAGGAUUCACACUCCUCAGGAUUCCCACUCCAAUCCAAAAAAUAAACGCUACCUUAAUAACAAUAAUUGCAUGUUGCUUUGGAAUCUUAUUCACUCUCUGCAACCCAGUUAAAUUGUGCAAAUUCUACUGUAGAUUUGUCAGAGUGUCUUUGUGAUUUCUUUGAUACAAUUUUGAUCGCAAAUUUCAGUUUGAAGAAUCAUGUAAUACCAAAAAACCAUAACAUGUAAUUACUUGAUCAUACUCGACUUCCUAUUUAGUACUACCGUGUUGUUAGGGAUGGCAAUGGGCACCGCCCGCAGCGGGUUUGCCAUUACCAAACCCAAACCCGCACAAAAUUUAAAUUACCAAACCCACCCGCAACCCGCAGCGGAUUUUAAUUUUUUUACAAAAACCCACCCGCAGCGGGUUUUAACAAUUACCAAACCCGCAAUGGUGUCUGGCGGAUUUUUUGUGGGUUUCCGUAUUUAAAAUCACAAAUGUUUAAUAUAUAAAUUUAUAAUAAUAACCUCAAAUUUCAUAUAACAUACUCAAUUUUAUAUUUAAACAAUGUAAAUGAAAAAUUAAAAUUUCCACAUCAAUUCAACACAAAUUCUCAAAUUUAAGUAUAAAUUACACAAAUCCAUUUUAAAAACUCAAACUAGUAUCUAAAAAUAAUAAUUACAUUUCAUAUUAUCAUUUAAAACAAGCUCCAAGAGAAGAUAUUCAUUUCAUUCACCACCAUAAGCACCCAUCCAACACAAUGCCUAUAAUAAUAAUUAAGAUUAAUAUUUUCAAAUACUAAUUCGAAGGAAAAUGCCUUUAGUUGUUUUUAGAUUAUGACUUUAGAAUAGGAGAUAGGCCACAUAUACACAUACACAACGUUGAGCCUUUGGCUAUUUGGUAAUUUGAUUAAUGACAUUAUUUUCUUUAUACAUUUUUAGAUUAAAAUUAAAUUAAAAAUAUUUGGAAAAAAUAUUGCGGGUUUUGUGGAUAUCCAUGCGGGUAUCCACCAGAUAUAAGGUUAAUACCAAACCCACCUGCAUCCAUGUGUGGGUUUUAAUUUAUAAUACUAAACCCGCCCGCAACGGGUAAAAUUACCCGCAAUGGGCGGGUUUUGGCGGGUGGGUUUGGGCGGGUUUGUGGGUUUGCGGGUACAAUUGCCAUCCCUACGUGUUGUAGUUAUAGUUAUUGUGAAAAAGGAACUGAAACUAUAAUAUAAAUGUUGAUCUUGUUUGUAUAUAUGAUUUUUAAAUAAUAAUUUUGGUAAAAUUAAUAAAUGUAUUAUUGAUUUUUUUAUACUCCCAACUUAAUUUUUAAGUCACAAUAAUAAAUAUUUAUUAAAUACUUUGAUACUAUAACUUUAAAACUAUGCUCCGCGGCACUCUUAUCUAAUUUUAAUUGUACUUUCUAGCUCGAUUAUAGAAAUCCUUACUCGAUGUACUUUACCAUACAAGAUGUUACUUUACUUAAUCUUACUCGACUUUAAUUGCAUAUUUUAUAACGAAUUUUUUUUAAAAAAAUUGGUCCCGAUUCCAGCAAAACAGUAACUUCCAUUCAAAAGGGUUCCACGUUGAGUGCAUGUAAUCUGCACAAGUUUGAGAAGAAAUAACCAAAAAAAAAAGAAACCCACGUCCAAAGAUGCCGUUGAAACAAAGGCCUAGACACUGUAUCCCAUCCCCUUUUACCAUAUUUUAUAAUUAAAGAGGCCGUCAUUGAAUUCAAAAAUUAUGAUCCAAAAUCCAAAAAUAGAAGAAGAAUUGGAAACAUACUCGGAGUUUUAAAUUGAUAUGAGAAAAGAAUUUAUCAUUUUUUUAACAAAAAUUUAAGCUAAGACGAAAAAAUAUGCCUAAAACACCCCUCACAUUAUCCCAAAAUUUCUAAACUCCGCCAUUCCUCUGACCAUCAUCUCUCCCAAAUCAAUCUUCCCCCAAAACCAGCCAUGGCUUCAAAUUCAAUCAGCUUAACACUCCAAUAUUGCUUGUAAGCCACCCACAAGUCCUCAACUUCACAUGGACUCAAGACCAAACCCUAGCUUCCUUCCGACACAUCCUCAUUCACUCCAUCAUUACUUACCUCUCCCUCACAUCCAUCCUCUACCACACAUCAACAUCAACAUCACCAUCAUCAUCACCUCUCAUUGGACCCCACAUCCUCAGACCCAUCACAGCCAUCCAUAACAUUUUUCAUUUUGAUGCUGAAUUAUCAUUUCACGGGAUUUGGUUUCCCUGGGUUUUGGGGUUGGUGCUUCAAUACUGUGUUUAAUGCUUCCCUUUUGGCCCUUUUUGUUAAUUUUCAUUACAAGAGCUUUGCUAAGAAAAGAAGCAGAGAUGAUCAAAACAACUAGUAGUUAUCCUUGUUUUGUGUUUUCUUUUUUAAUUUAUUUGAUUUUGGUUAAUUAUGAAUGGUGGUAAUGGGUUCAUUGCCAUUGACAGAGAUGUUUCCAGUUGCCUAAACUUUGUUUUUUUCAAUUUUGGUAGUACGUGUAAUUUGUCACCACAUUUGUUUAGUCUCUCCCUUUCAAAUUCCCUCUCACACAAAAAAAUUCGGAUUUGUAUUUUGUAAACUAACAUUUUUCAUUUUGUUAAUAAAUUAAUUAUUAUUAUCUACAUUUAUGUGAUAGGACACAUGCCACAUCAAUUAAUAUUAGAUCAUGAAUUUUUGCAACCCCAGCAAAAAAAAUUUAUGAAAGAUGUUUAGGUAAGGAUUAUUUUGGUCUUCUAAAGAGUAGAUUAAAAAUCAAUGUUCAAAGUAUUAGAACAUAAAUAAUCCCAGCUUUAAUAAAAUUUUGCCACAUAAUGAUUCUUAUCUCUCAAGAGAAACAUAUAAAUAAAAUGUACAAAGUUAGAAAUAUAGAAUGCAUUAGUACAUGUCAAUAACAAGACCAAUUAGAUCAUGGCAUUACUUAAUUUUAUUUUUAUUUUUUGCUUCUUUUGAAACAAGAUCAAUUAGUUAGAUCAUUGAAAAAGAAGCAGUCAUACAAAGUUUGAAUAUAAAAUUUAUAAUCUAAAAUUAAUGAUGUGACAAUUAACAUGUUAUUAACCUAGCUAAUAGAGUAGGAAGUCCCAAAUACACCAUCUUCUGCUACAGAAAUCAAUCCUACCUAGAAUACUUCUUUUUAUUGAAAUUUAUGAUGAUUUGUUUGUUUGCAUCAUGAAAGUUAAAAAUAAUUUUGUGAGUAAUUUGAUUCUUUACGGUACAAAAAAUAAAUUCGGAAAGUAUUAAUUUCUCUCAUACUUUUAGGGCUAAAAAAUAAAAGUAAGUCUAAUAUAUUUAUUAGUUAAUGAUUAUAUAUCAAUCAUCUCUCAUACUUUUCGAUCUGAUCCAAUCCAAUCUGAAUAUUCUAGCCUAAUCAACCCGAAACCCAAUCAAGUUGAUCUGAACACAAAUUUACCCACUCCUAGCGGGGAUCAUGACCCUACAAGCUUUGAAAAAUUUUGAGGUUUCGAAGUGAAAUAUUAAAAAUUAGGUAUAAAAAGACUGAUUUGGCCCCUAAGCAAUUAAUUUGAGAAUGUUACAUUUUCCAUUUCUCUUUUUGUCGUGACAUAAUAGACUAAAACGGAAUCACAUACUUCUUCAAAUGCCCAAAUGGCUUUGGCCUAAUAAAGUUAUAUAUUGACUGUGGACUAAAACAGAGCCACAACUUUUUCGAAUGACCAAAUGAAUUAAUGAGACAAUGGCGUUUGCCUACCUUGAUAACAAAAGUCGUCGGCCAUAAUCCAUAUAGACAAAAAAAUGGUCCAUACGUUAAGGUUAAAUUGAAAAAUAUAAUAAAUAAAUUUCAUUUGUGAUGAAAUUCGUAAUGGAUUUAUUACUUAGUUAUCUUUCACAUAUUUUCUCUAUAAUAUCAUAUAAGUUAUAGACCACAGCAUGAUAUUUAUUGCAAUUAAAAUCAUUGUGAAACUGAUUUUAUUCUUUUUUUUCUUCUCAAACAAAGUAUCUAGCUAAUUGCAGAUGUAAUAAAUUACUAAUUAACAUUAUUUUAUCUGAAAAAUAUAAUAAAUAAAUUGUCAGGAGAUGAUUUUAUCUGAAAUUUCACUUGCACGGUCCAGGCCACAUACAAAUUUGUGCUGAAAUUCAUAAUGGAUUAAUAUGAUUGGGCGAAAUUACUCUAUAUAUCAUUUCAUCAAUAUCUAUUAAACGAUAAAAAAUUUAUUGAUAUUUAUAAUAAAAAAAAUCUAUCCACUAAGUCUAUUCUAGAUCAACAAUUAAUAUAUUAUAUAUAACUUCAAAAGGUUCAUCGGUGGAUUGAUCUAAGCCUUUUGUUGUAGUUUAUAAAUAUUUUGUUGCUUAUAAUGUAAGAAAUUUUACAGGAGCUGAUGCUGAGUAGUCUGAAUAAGAAAAUUAAUUAUAUUGUAAGAUACUGGGUAUUCAUGAUAAAAUAAAUAAAUAAAAAAUGAAUAAAAAUUUAAAUCCUUAAUUAAUUUUUAUCAAAUUCUUAUCAAAUAUUUAAAAAAGUAUAUAAAAUCAAUUAAUUGAUGGUAUUAUUAAUUUUCAUGAUUAAUAUUAAAUAUAAAUAAACAAUAAUGACAUAAAUUAAAGUCUCAUAAAUGGAUAACUUUUUUUUCCUUAAUCUUAUCCCAAGUCCCAACUAAAGGAAUGUGUAAAUUAGGAUUAUUAAUCCCAUAAUUUUAAGAUUAAACUUAAAUUUAGUCCCUUAGUCCAAUUCAAUUAAGCUUACCAAAUUUGAUAUAAAUAUAUAAUCACAAAAUUAGUCCAAUUCCAUACUUAAUCCUAGUAUCCGACCAUGGCCUGAUAAAAUAGUUUAGGUAAUAUACUUUUAUGACUAGGGUUGGUAGAAAAGCCCGGGCCGGCCUAGGCCCGCAGGCUUUAAGCCCGACCCGUGGUUUGAAAUUAUGGAUAAAGGCUCGUAAUUAAUGAAGCCCAUAACAUAUGGGCUCAGUUAAGGGUCUAAAUGAAAAGCCUGGGCUUAAGCCCAGGCUUUAUAAUAAAUAAUAUAUAUAUAUAUAUAUUUUAAAAAAAAUUGUAUAAUAUAUUAUGAAAUUGAAAUUAAAAAAAAAAUUUAAACAAAACAAUAAAAAAAAUCGGGCAAAGGGCAAAGGUUUUGUCACAACUCACAAAAUCCCUAAAUCGGUAAAUCAAAAUAUCAAAUUAUUCGUGUUUCGUGAGCACCAUUUCGUGAGCAGUGAGCACCUGACAAAAUCUCACUCACUGUCACGGCGUCACCGUGCCGGCGUCUCACUGUUCUCGCCACCGGCAGCCAACAGUAGAGCAUCUCUAGAUUCCAGCAGCGUCGUCCAGCCAGCAUCAGCCAUCAGCGACCCACCUUCCAGCAGCAGUAGCAGCGAGCAUCUCCCGCGUAAGGCCAAUCCCACCGCCCAGCCACCCACCGUCCAGCCACCCAGCAAGGCAGCAACAGCAUCUCCCGCGUGUCGCAGGCUCGCAGCAGUGCCUCCCAGCAAUUUCCAUCAACAUUGGUAAGCAUUUUUUUGUGUCCUCACUCCUCAGUUUCUUGAUCUUUUCUUUGUCCCUUUCAGUGAUCUGGGUAAUGCUGCAUUUGAUCUUUUCAAAGUGGACUCUUUUUGAUCUGUUUGUUGUUCUAAAUUUUGUAAUUUUUUAUAUGGGUUUCGGCCAGUGGAGGAUUUGAUUUGAUUUUUUAUAUGGGUUUCGGCUCAUUUUCUUUAAAGCUUGUAAGUGUUUGUAGGUUGUUAAGAGGAUUUCAAUAGUUAAAGUAGAAAGAUUUGAUUUGUUAGUGAUUGAGAUGAUACCGGUUUCAAUAGUUAAAGGCUGUUAAGAGGAUUCCAAUGAUAUAGAAUUUAUUUCCUGUCUUCAAUUGCAGAGUGUUUAUAUUUCUCAAUACUGUUUAAUUUCCAUAUUCAUAUUAUUUUUCUCAGCCUGUACUAAGGUGAUGUCUCCAUUGUAUAGAUACUGACAUACUGUAUGGAGUUCUGGACAUUGUAAAUUUGUUGUCCUGUCACUCCUGUGCUUGUAAAUGCAGUAUGCGUUUAGUGCAUUUACACUUAGCUUAAUUAAUUUAUUAAUUUAAUAUUUUAUCUCCUUUAAUUUUGUAUAGGUUUAUAAUGGAAAAUGUCUCUGAACCUUCUAAUUUGCCUUCAAAUCUAUCUGUGGAGUCGGAAAAUGUUCAAGAAGAAAUGCGGAGUGAUAAAAAAAGAAAACAGAGGGUUGUUUCAAAUUGUUGGGACCAUUUUACAAAACUAAAUGUUGGUAGUGUAGCAAAGGCAAAAUGCAAUCAUUGUGGAACGGUUCUUUCUUGUGGAUCGGGAACCAGUCAUUUGAAUAGACAUACUAGACAAAUUCACGGUUUUAAUCAACCGACAAAUAGUUUUAUUAAAAAAAAUUUUGAAAAUUCGUAAAAGCCCAGGCCCAGCCCUAGGCCCGGCUCGCCCAAUUUGAAUGGGCUUUGAGAGGGCCUGGACUUUUUAAACUUUAUAAGGGCCUGGUCCUGGGCUUGGCAAAGCCCGGCCCAGACCCUUAAAUUGCCAACCCUAUCUAUGACUCACAAUUUAAAUAAAUUUGAGAAUUUAUAUAAGGGAUGGAAAAUUCACAAUAAUCAUAACAUGUGCUAUCUUUUCUUCCUUUUCUUAAUUAAAUAAAAGAAAAAAAUUAAUGACAGAACCACUGCUGUGUGAUAUCGAUGAAGUCGCAUUCGCCUACCUAAUAUUGCGCAAUCAGAUAGAAAAAAGGGUCGGCUGCAUGAUUUUUCCAACUUUUGUCUUAUUUUUCUCUUUUCCACUACAAAUUAAUUUGAGAAUGUUAUAUUUUCCAAUUCUCUUUUUGUCGUGACAUAAUAGACUAAAGCGGAAUCACAUACUUUUUCAAAUGACCAAAUGGCUUUGGCCUACCUGAUAAUAAAAGGAAUGGAUCCAUACGUUAAAGCUAAAUUGAAAAAUAUAAUAAAUAAAUUGUCAGGAGAUGAUUUUAUCAAAAGUUUCACUCGCACGGUCCCGACCAAAUACAAAUUUGUGAUGAUAUUCAUAAUGAAUUUAUACAAUUAGGCGAAACUACUCUAUAUAGUUUCAUCGAUAUAUAUUAGACCAUUACAAAUAUACUAAUAUUUAUAAUAAAAAAAAUUUAUGACUAUUUUAAAUCGACUGUAUUAUAUGUGAAUUCACAAGAUUCAUAGAUAGAUUGCACUGAGCUUUUUGUUGCAGUUUACAAAUAUUUUGUUACUAAUUAUCUUAAGAGCAGCAAGUAACUAAGAAAUUUCACAAGUGCUGAUGCUGUGUACUCUGCAGAAUUAACAAUGAAUUAUUAUGAAUCAGAGAAACAGGGCAGACACUGUACAAUUAUUGACGUGGUGGAGCAGAAAGCUAGCCCCAGACAGUGACUCAUGUGGGGACUCCUUCAAUUUGCAGCACAAAAGAACGUUCACAUUGACAUUGACUUGAGGGUAAAAAUUAAAUAACUCCUAUGGUAUAAGAAGAAUGCAAACAUGCUUGAAUGAACAUUCUCACAGAAUACAUAAAACCUACUUUCCUCUGAGCAUUUUAGCAAGAAAAGCAAUUGCAUCAUUUAUCAUUUGAUCUAAUAUCAGAAUGGCUCAUGCAAUCGUUUCCUCUCUCCUGGACCAGCUGAAUUCCAUUGCUCAAGGUCAGGUGAAAGAAAAGUUGAGGCUUGUGACGGGUGUCGAACAAGAAGUGGGUAAGCUUACCACCAAUCUUCAAGCCAUUCAAGCUAUGCUGGAAGAUGCAGAGCAGAGGCAAAUGAAGCAGGACAAAGCUGUUACGUUUUGGCUGGAUCAGCUCAGAGACGCAUCCUACGACAUGGAAGAUGUGUUGGAAGAGUGGAUCACUGAAACACGGAAAUUGCAGCUUGAUGAGGGCGGCGAUGAUGAUGAUGAUGAUAACGACAAUGCUUUUGUUACUCUUUUGACGAAGGUAUGUUCCUUCUUUCCUGCUGCCUCAAACUGCUUUGGUUGUUUCAAACAACUCAGUCUUCGUCAUCAUAUUGCUGUCAAGAUUAGAGAAAUCAGUAAAAGGCUAGAUGAAAUUGCCACUCGAAAAGAUAGGUUUAAUUUUGUUGAGAAUGUGAGUAACAAUGUUAGGAAUCCAGAGCGAGUGCGAACCAUCUCCUUGAUUGAUGAGAGAGAGGUUUACGGUAGAGUUGAGGAGAAAAAUGAGCUCUUAAGCAAGUUGUUGUGUGAAAGUAGUGAACAACAAAAAGGCCUUCAUGUCAUUUCACUAGUUGGGUUGGGGGGUAUAGGUAAAACCACUCUUGCACAAUUGGCGUAUAAUAAUGAUGAGGUGAAAAUAAAUUUUGAAAAAGUUAUAUGGGUGUGUGUAUCGGACACUUUUGAUCAGAUUAGGGUUGCCAAAGCAAUCAUUGAAGAUCUAGGUGAGUCAGCUUCUGGUUUAAACGAAUUCCAAUCUCUUAUGAGCCGUAUCCAGAGUUCAAUUAAAGGAAAAAAAAAUUUUCUUGUCUUAGAUGAUGUAUGGGAUGGGGAUUACAAUGAAUGGGAACCAUUCUUCCUUUGUCUAAAAAAUGGUCUCCACGGAAGUAAAAUUUUGGUUACCACACGUAAUGAGUCAGUUGCACGUAUGAUGGGAUCAACAGAUAUUAUCUCCAUUAAGCAAUUGGCUGAAGAGGAAUGCUGGUCAUUGUUCAAGCAGUUAACAUUUUUCGGUCGUUCUUUUGAGGAUCGUGAAAAAUUAGAACCAAUGGGGCGAAAAAUUGCACACAAGUGCAAAGGCUUGCCUCUUGCUGCAAAGGUAAUAGGGAAUCUCUUGCGCUCUAAAAGUACAGUAAAAGAGUGGCAAAGAAUUUUAGAGAGUGAAAUGUGGAAAGUAGAAGAGAUUGGGCAAGGUCUUUUAGCUCCUUUGUUGUUGAGUUAUAAUGAUUUGCCCUCCAAUUCUAUGGUAAAACGGUGUUUCUCAUAUUGUGCUGUCUUUCCAAAAGACUACAAUAUGGAUAAAGAGGAAUUGAUUAAUCUGUGGAUGGCUCAAGGUUACCUUAAUGCAGAAGAAGACGAAGAGAUGGAGAUGAUUGGGGAAGAGUGUUUCAACAUUUUAGCAACACGCUCUUUCUUUCAAGAAUUUAAGAAAAAUGCUGAUGAUGAUAUUAUGAGUUGUAAGAUGCAUGACAUAGUACAUGAUUUUGCCCAAUUUGUAAGUAGCAAAGAAUGUUUGUGGGUAGAAAUUAAUGGUACCAAAGAAUCAGUCAUAAACUCUUUUGGUGACAAAGUCCGUCACUUAGGGUUAAAUUUUCAAAGAGGCACUUCAUUUCCUAUGUCCAUUCGUGGACUUGAUAGAUUGCGUACCCUCCUAAUUGAUGAUGGAAGUCUGUCUCUUAGUAGUAGCAUCCUUUCGGAGUUAUUUAGUAAAUUGGCGUGUUUAAGGGCAUUAGUUAUAAUGCAAGGUUUUCAUCCUGAGACAAGUAGGAUUAGAGAAAUUCCAAAAAAUGUCGGAAAAUUGAUACAUUUAAAAUAUCUUAAUUUGAAUAGACUAUGUAUAGAGAUACUACCUGAGACUUUGUGUGAAUUAUAUAAUUUACAAAAGCUAGAUAUUAGUUGGUGCCGAAAUCUUAGAGAAUUGCCAGCGGGGAUUGGAAAGUUAAAGAACAUGAGGAGUUUACUGAAUGAUAACACUUAUUCAUUGAAGUACAUGCCGAUAGGGAUUUCCAAAUUAACCAAUCUUCGAACAUUAAAAAAGUUUGUGGUGGGUGGAGGUGUUGAUGGUAGCAAUACGCGUAGGCUUGAAUCUCUGAAAAAUCUUCAACUCCUUCGAGAAUGUGGAAUAGAAGGGCUGGGUAAUGUGUCCCAUUUAGAUGAGGCUGAGAGGUUACAACUUUACAAUAAGAAAAACCUCCUUCGUUUGCGUCUUGUGUUUGGUGGAGUCUUACAUGGGGAAGGCGAGAAAGAUAAACAACUUCUUGAAGCCUUACAACCGCCUUUGAAUGUAGAGGAAUUAUGGAUUAUGUUCUACCGAGGCAACAUUUUUCCCAAAUGGUUGACUUUGCUAACCAAUCUAAGGAAUUUAACACUUUCCUUGUGCAUUAACUGUGAGCAUUUGCCUCCUUUGGGAAAAUUGCCUCUGGAAAAACUCAAACUAUGGAAAUUAAAAAGUGUAAAAAGAGUGGGUAAUGAGUUUUUGGGAAUAGAAGAAAGCAGUGAGGACGACCCAUCUUCAUCUUCAUCGUCAUCAUCAGUUAUUGCCUUCCCCAAAUUGAAAUCACUCGAAAUUGUAGCAUUGGAAGAAUUGGAAGAGUGGAAUUACAGGAUUACGAGGAAGGAAAACAUCUCCAUCAUGCCCCGUCUUUCUUUCUUAAAAGUUGUUUUUUGCAACAAAUUAAAGGCGCUGCCGGAUUACCUUCUUCAAACGACGGCACUGCAGGAACUGCGUAUUUUUUCUUGUGAUCUUCUAGAAGAACUGCCCAUUCUAGAAGAUCGCAGGACAACAGACAUACCACGUCUUUCUUCCUUGCGAAUUUCGGAUUGCCCCAAAUUAAAGGUGCUGCCGGAUUACCUUCUUCGGACGACGACGCUGCAGGAAUUGACAAUUUGGAGAUGUCUCAUUCUGGAAAACCGUUAUAGAGAGGGGGAAGGAGAAGACUGGUAUAAGAUAUCCCACAUUCCCCACAUCAAGUGGUCGCCGUAAGAUAUCACUCGCCGGUAAUUUCUCCUCCUCCUCUGAUUUACUUCGUUGUUGCUUGCAAUGAAAUUAAUAAAAAUAAUUAUAUUUUGAAUUAAAAUUCUAUAUAGAAUCAAUCAUGGUAUAAAUAUGUAAAACUUCCUAGUUAUCAAAUCUGUUAAACUUGUUUUCUAAAGAUUAAAUAAUUAAAAAAAAACCAAGUGUAGUAUGUUGAAAUUUCUAUAUUUUCUUUUAAAAAAUUUGUGCUCUUUUAUAAAAUUUGAUACAACAUCGUAGAAAAUCCCAAUGUAAUUUAUUUUUUAAUGUACGAAAAGUUGUUAUGUGUAACUUCCUGAGAGAAAAAAUCUCUGUGAUACAUUUGCAGUAAUGUUGAAAACUAAAUUAUCAAUUUUAUCUUGUAUAAUGAUAAUCGUAUUUUUUUAUAUAUAAUUUAUGUGACAUUAAUUCUUUAAAGUAAUUGUGUAAUUGUUUUUAGUAGUACAUUAGCCCACUUUGUUUUAUUUCAUACGAGUUUAAUUAUGUUCACCAGGGAUUCGAGGAAAUGUCAGAACCACACUAGCAAUUCACAGGUCCAAUCUAAUUUGGUUUUAAUGAUGCAGGCAGGAGAGUAUUCUAAGAAAAUGAAAAGUUUAGCCAAAGGAUUGCUAAAAUGUUCUGCUGGUAAUUCACUUGCUUUAUUUUAUAGAAUUUCAUUUCCAUCUUCUUCUAUUGAUAUCUUGUUGUGAAUAAACAAGAACAGAGAAGUAAAUGAUUGAACCACAGAGAAGUAAAGAUAUAUCCAAAUUCGAUUAUUAUGAUGAUUAAAGCAAGCUCAAGCUCACGCAUUGCAUUUUUUAUUUUAUUUAGUUUAUAGAAUUUUCAUUUCCACCUGCAUUGCAUUUUUAUUUCAUUUUUAGGUUGACGUUGAAGACUCUAUGGAAAACAUUGGGGUAACCAAGGAUUAUCACUGUGGUUAUUGUGCAACGUUUGGUUGCUGGACUUUGAAGAAGGAAGUGAUGGCCGGGUCUGCUCUGUUUCAAUUGAGGAUGGAUAGCUGCCUGAAAGACAUGAUGAUUAUUAUUGCAUGAUGUUUAGGUGCUAAGAUAAUCAUUUAUAUCUUGCUUCAUUCUUGGAAUCAUUUAUCCUAUAUAAACAUAUUGAAUUGUGCUAAUAUUAUCAAUUUUUUCACCUAAUUUUCACUGUUGUUGUGAAAAGAAUUUCAGGCUCUCAAAAGCUACAAAGCAAAGCAUUUGUGGGCUGAUCAUAUGUUUCAAUUGAGGAAGGAGCUUGGUGUUGGCAAUAUUGUCCAGGUAACCACAGCUGAUAAUUUCCACAAAUUUGCAUUGUCAGAAUACACUUUAAUGUUCAUGGUGUUCCUCUGUGUUAUCAGGUUAUCGUGGUAUGUAAAGUAUCAUCUUUAAGGAUUUGUAAUAGACUUUGCAUUAAACUUAGUUGUCACCAGCUCCUGCAAUUGCUCACUCAUUCAAGAGUACUUCAAAAUUAGAUUUUCAAGGUUUGUAUGUUUAGUUGUGAUCAAAAUGUUUAGUCACUCAUUCUUAAUCUUUUCUGAUUUUCAAGUUCUUUAGGGUCAUAAACAGUUUUCCAACUCAUUCUUAAUUUUUAGGUUGAUUUCGAGUACCAUGUUGAGGACAUUCCUGAGACCAAGGAUUAGGCUGGCGAAGGAACCACUACCUCUGUUGUUAUUGUGCAAGGUUUGAUCAUUGGACCUUGAAUAAGAAUCCCUUACACGCAUUCUGUAAUUGAAGCGUUCUCUAAAGCAACAGAGCAGUUGAAGGAAUAGUGAUGGCCGGAUCUGCUCUAUCUUAAUUGAAGAUCUCUGUGAUGUUGAGGAGCUUAAAGCAGUUGUUGCUUUUUGAUUCCUGAAGACGAGUAUCUAAUGAUUGUUAAGGCGUAUUUCAUGAACUUCCUUUCUUAACGAAUGUUUCAAUGCUGGCUGUAGUAACAAUUUCAUAUCUUGCAUCUCUCGGGUGCAUCAUGUUCACGGGUUUGAAAAAGCAUUUGUGGUAAUGCUUCAAAGCUUGUACAAUGGCUGUGAAAAGGCACAUUCAAUUAGGUACGUUUUGGUGCGGUCUCCCAAUGCUAAUAUUAUAUUUUGUAUAGCAAUUAAAAUUUAGCUAUACAAUCUUAAUAUGCAAUAAAUCAUUGUAUACAAAGUUUUCUAUUAAUUAUAUGGUGACUGAAAUUUUAAUUAUCAUAUAUCAAUUUAAAUUUUUUUGUUACUCUCUUUUACUUUGCUUGUACAGAGUACCUGUUUUGGCUGAUAUGUCUAAUUCGUAGAAAUUCAUUUCCAUCGGUUUCCAUUGGCUUUAGCACAAACCGAAACAGAUCUCUGGGGAAAAGUUUUACUUCUUGUGAUAUUAUGCCUUUGUUUCUUCAUUCAUCAUAUUUUUCGAAUUCAUGCUCUCAUUCAGAGGGUAAAGCCUUUUUGAUGCAGCGGAAGUUUAAUGUUCAAAAUAUUCCGUUGAUUCUAGAGAAUACCGGAAUAAAAGAACAACUAAAUUCACGUUGAUUCAAAAGAAUACCGCGAACUUAGGGGUUAAGACUCGUUGAUUCAGAAUACCGAGAAUUAACUAUUCAAAUACUCACAAAGAGAUUUGAAAAUUGAAAUAUUAUUGAACUCAAAAUUCUCUACUUGUAAAAGUUACAAAAGACACUUAUUUAUACUAAAUAAGACUUAUCCUAAUAUGAUUAGAAAACCUAUUUUAAUAAGACUUAUGCCUAAAUUAGGAAUAUUAUCCAAAUAAGCAAUACCUAAACAAUAAGACUCUAAAUAGGAAACCAAAUUAAACUAGAAUACAAAUUAAUUAAAAUAUUCCUAAAUAUUAUACAUUUAAAUAUAAUUAGGAUUUCUUCAAUUUCUUGCUAUGCAUCAUUCCCGCCAGGUUGGAGAAAAUUCGUCCUCGAAUUUUGUAUAUUGUAAUCUUCAAGAAUAUCUUCAUGUGCAUAAGGAUUAAUUUUUAAAACAGAGCUUUGACAUAGACGACGAACUUUAAAUUUUCCAACUUUUGUAAUAACGUCCAUCCAAUCACUCCAAUGGCGUAAAAUAAAUUCUUCUAUCAACAACUUCUCCAAUAAUGUCUUCUCAUAUUGUUCGUGUCGAACUUCAACAUAGUUAAGGAAAAAUGAUUUUUUCUUAUAAUCCACUAACUGUUGAAAAAUAUCACAACUCUUUUUGUCUUCUUUCGGCAAAUCAAGAGAACAAUAAGAGAUUGUAUCAAUAACUAUCUCUCUCUCCUCCACAAGAUCAAAAGAUGGAUAAACAAUUACCUCUUCUCGUCCCACAAUAUCAAGAUUCUCAUCAAAUUUCGGCGAUUGAUCCAAAUCAAUAUUGUCUUUGUGUUGAGGAUUUGUUGUAGACAUGAAUGGCCAAUUAAUAUUCUCCUCGGAAGGAAUAAUAUUGUCGAAAGGAACAAAGUUACAAUUUUCCUCAUUAUCUUCAUAACAAACAUCACCGUGAACAACUUCAUCAAAUCCAUAUGCAUGCUUUAUGUGUAAAGAUUUUCUAUCUCGAAUUUUCUCUAAAUCUUGAGAAAUUGAACGCAAAAUCCUCAACAUCUUAACUAAAACAUCUCUCAAGAUGAAAUCUUCACGUCGAUAUUGUGAUUUCAUGAUAUAAUUUUUUUCUUUUUUUUUUCCUAUGCUUUUUUUUGGUGUUGUUUGGGUUUUUUUUUUUUAAACUAAACGGAAAAAAACAAAAAAGGAAAAAAGGAAAGGUUUGGUGGUAGAUGGAGUUAGAUUGGUGAGACCAGGUUUUGGCUCUGAUACCAAGCUGAUGCAGCGGAAGUUUAAUGUUCAAAAUAUUCCGUUGAUUCUAGAGAAUACCGGAAUAAAAGAACAACUAAAUUCACGUUGAUUCAAAAGAAUACCGCGAACUUAGGGGUUAAGACUCGUUGAUUCAGAAUACCGAGAAUUAACUAUUCAAAUACUCACAAAGAGAUUUGAAAAUUGAAAUAUUAUUGAACUCAAAAUUCUCUACUUGUAAAAGUUACAAAAUACACUUAUUUAUACUAAAUAAGACUUAUCCUAAUAUGAUUAGAAAACCUAUUUUAAUAAGACUUAUGCCUAAAUUAGGAAUAUUACCCAAAUAAGCAAUACCUAAACAAUAAGACUCUAAAUAGGAAACCAAAUUAAACUAGAAUACAAAUUAAUUAAAAUAUUCCUAAAUAUUAUACAUUUAAAUAUAAUUAGGAUUUCUUCAAUUUCUUGCUCUGCAUCACUUUUCCAGGCUGCUUUGUAGCCAAACUUUGACGCCUUUGAUGCAUGACUGUCAUUUAGAUUUUCCAAAUAACUGUUAGAUUGGAGAAGAAUAAGAAGAUACUGUUAAAAGGGUAUUUAAUUAGCGCCCUCUGAAUUUCUUGGAGUUAAUGUAGUCAAUUGCCCAAUUUUGCUUCAAACUCUGAGACACCUAAUAAAUAGUUGGAGGUGGUGGUAUUCGCCUGGUGUUAAUUUCCUGGCAAGUAUAGUUCACAGAUAGAGGGGUUCUUUUCUUGAUGUCUAAUUACCGUAUGUGAUACAACAUCGUGUAUUCCAAUUUUUCUCCAGUUAAAUUUUAAUACGUUAGAAAAGUUAAUUUUUUUUUAGCAAUGAAUUGUUUUCUUAAUAAUAAUAAUUGCCAUGUUCCUCUGAAGUCUUAUUAAUACCAGACCACCAACUACUAGGUUCAUCUCUCGUUCACUUCCUCAGGGAAUCUCGAGGGCAUUCAUUGGCAGGUAGUCUUUCUUGUUGAGCUCCUGGAAUUACUUUUAAUUUAUCAUUUGUUGGGUUUUGCUUUUUGAUUGCUUUGGGAUUUGUGUUAUUAUCGCUUUGUCGCUCAUUAAUCUUGGCUGUUUUGAAUCUGUGUUGGAUUUAGAAGUUUGGAGUUGAAAACAGUUAAAGCUUAGACUAGUAGAAGAGAUUUAUACAUUCAUUUAUCUUGGACAAAGUUUUUGGGGGAAAAAAAAAUUAUAAGUAUACACUUUCCAAUGGUUCGGUGAUGUUUGAUUGGUUUAAAGAUGUUGGAUCUCUCAUCAGAUUUCUUAUGUAUCGACUGCUGUUGCCACAGGAUGCUUGCAGAUCCUGCUUUUUUGUAUAAACUUCUACUAGAGCAGGCUGCCACAAUUGGUUGCACUGUUUUGUGGGAGUUGGAGAAUCAUAAGGAGAGGUGUGUUUUUUCUCUCAUAACAAAGGAACUCUUCCCUUCCUUUUUAUUUUCAUCUUAUAUAUUAAGCUAAUAAAUGUUUGCUUCUGUCGUGAUGGGAUAAAGCAAGAAUGGGAUCAGCUUAGUUUUGGUGCUUUCCUUGGACUAUAUGCAAACAUGAGAUAUCAGCUAUUGUGUGGAUUUGAUAGAGCGGUCAUCAACCAUUUUGAUGUUACCAGGUUAUCUCUCCCUCUCCCUCUUCUACGCAUUUGUUUAUUGAUCUACAUCUCUAUAUACAUUGAUAGACUAUUCUGGACGUACCAAAUUACCCUUGUUUUAAUGUUUUGCCUGGGGAAUCUGUUUAUUUGUCUGAUAAGAGGUUAGUGUGGUUUCUAUUGAAGUGUGUAGAUCUAUCACCAAGUAUUAUUUCAAUUUUUCUUUACUUAAUCAACUUGCAUCCUUUCCAAGUCCAGAUCCUUAACAAUAGUGCGACAUCGCUACAGAAGUACAAUUUCUCUAGUUUGACAGUUAAAUACGUAAGAAUGGUUUUAAAUUAACUGAACUCUGUGAUAGUUCUCUAAGGAAAUACAAGUGGUGAAUCCGGUUCCAACUUUUAAGUGCCUUAAUUUACCCAUUUGUUCAGCCCUGUGUGUAAACAAUCAGUAAUUGUUGUCCAAAUUAUACUUUACUGCCUAUAUGUGUUGGACUUUGUCUAUUGUUCAACUUCUCAAAUGGAUUCCAUGCAGGGUUCUUAAUGUCCAAUUAGGAGAAAGAUCAAGGCUUGCUUGGCUAGGAGUGGAAGCGGAUCCGCUACUUCAAUCAUAUGACCUUUUGAAGAAGGCUUACAACGGGGCGGCUCAGGAUGUCAAUGGCUCAACUCAAAAGUCCCCAAGGUGGUUGAUAUCAAAGAAUGCCAAUGUCUCUGGGCUUGGGCUCCUUGGCAUCAAACAAGGGAAUGUCGACUCUGUUGAAGGGGAAGCAAGGGCUCCUAAAGUGCGAAGAAAGAGGAUAGUCCGGAAGAAGGUGACCGCAUAAAUUUCUUGGGAGUUAAUCCGAGUCAAUAGCCCAAUUUUGCUGCCUGUCGAAGAGAUACAACUCGGAAGUCGUCAUCAAACUCUUUGAGACAUCUAAGAACUCGGAGGGAGGUGGUGGUAUUCAGUGUGUUUCCUGGCAAGUAUAGUGCAGUGAUAGAGGGAUUCUUUUCUUGAUGUCUAAAUACUAUAUGUGAUACAACGUCGUAUAUUCCAAUUUUUCUCCAGUUAAAUUUUAGUAAGUUAGAAAAGUUAAUUUUGUUAUAGCGAUGAAUUGUUUUCUUAACAAUAAUAAUGGCCUGUUGUUUUGGAAUCUUAUUCACUCUUGUAACCUAGUUAAAUUGUGCAAAGUCUACUGCAGAUUUGUCAAACUGAGUGUCUUUGUGAUUGUUUUGAUACACUUUUGAUCGCAAGUUCAAGUUUGAAUCAUCUUGUAAUGCCAAGAAAACCAUAGCGCUAUUAGUUACUAGAUCGCACUCGAGUUUUUGUUUGACUUUUAACUACGAGAUCAGCUUUUAGUAUUAGCUGUAGUUAUAAUAUAAACGUUAAUUAUGAAACUCUUACCAAAUUUUAGUUGUACUUUCUAGCCCGAUUGUAGAAAUCCAUACAAGAUGCUACUCAAUUUUACUUAAUCUUACUCGUCUUUGAUUUGUAAAUUUUAUGCCUAAAUUUUUGUCAACAAAUUGGUCCCAGUUCCAAGGUUCUUCAGCUUGGGUGAUCCCAGCAAAACCAUUACGUCCAUUCAAAAGGGUUCCACGUUGAGUGCACGAGAUCCACAAGUUUGAUUGGGCAGAAAUACCUGAUGAAAAACCUGAUGAAACCCACGUCCAAAGAUGCCUUUUGUUGCGGAGGCCUAGACGCGACACCCCAUCCCCUUUUACCAUAUUUUAUAAUUGAAGAGGCCAUUAUUGAAUUUAAAAAUUAUGAUUCAAAAUCCAAAAAUAGAAAAAGAAAAACAACCGUUGGAAACCACUCGAAAUUUUAAGUUGAUAUGAGAAAAGAUUUUUUCAUCAUCAUCAUUACUAUUAUUUCUUUUUAACAAAAAUUAAGCUAAGACAACAUUAUAUACCCAAAAUACCCCUCACAUUAUCCCAAACUUUCUAAACUCCCCCACUCCUCUCAACAUCAUCUCUUCCAAAUCUUUCUUCCUCCAAAAAGCAGCCAUGGCUUCAAAUUCAAUCACCUCAACACUCCAAUAUUGGCUUGUAAACCACCCCAAAAUCCUCAACUUCACAUGGACUCAAAACCAAACCCCAGCUUCCUCCCCACACUUCCUCAUUCUCUCCAUCCUCACUUACCUCUCCCUCACAUUCAUCCUCUACCACAAAUUAACGCCAACAUCACCAUCAUCAUCACCUCUCAUUGGACCCCACAUCCUCAAGCCCAUCACAGCCGUCCAUAACCUCACCCUCCUCCUCCUCUCCCUCGUCAUGGCCGUUGGUUGCACUCUCUCCAUCGUCCUCCAUUCACCCAACCUCCGUCACACCCUCUGUUUCCCCCCCACCAUUUCUGCCUCCGGUCCCCUCUUCUUCUACGCUUACAUCUUCUACCUCUCCAAAAUACUCGAAUUCCUAGACACCCUUUUGAUCAUUUUGUCAAACUCCAUCCAACGGCUCACGUUCCUCCACGUCUACCA
This 53061-nucleotide long non-coding RNA is filed under the name Citrus x clementina. RNAcentral's name for it is "Citrus clementina (C. clementina) long non-coding RNA (CCLE_LNC002470)". The record is from RNAcentral. Lineage: Eukaryota; Viridiplantae; Streptophyta; Magnoliopsida; Sapindales; Rutaceae.